GGUAUCAACUGUGGCAACCAGAGGAACCGGAUAUUGAAGAAGAAGAAUAGAAAUACAGUUCGCAUAAAAGAGUAUUUUAUCACACAAGGGAAUAAAUCUCCAGUGUUGUUAAAAUGUUAAUAACAAUUCGGCUGGGGCAGAAUAAUACUACAUGUCAUGAUGUUCUGAUUGAAGUCUGCGACGUCAAUCAUUCGGGCGUGGAAGACCAUACCAAGCAGCAUCCGGAAUAUCACGAGAAGACAGUACGCGAUAGAGGACAAGGCAAAAAGAAUAAACAACAACUCUACUGUACCCAGGACAAUUAUUGAGGAGCGGAGAGCCGUCCAAGUGUCCAGGCAAUAGAAGAGGAGAAUAGUUGAAGGCACCAGAAGCCUUAAGCACGAAGCAACUUCAGAAGCCUCUGCCGCGACUAUAAAAGGAGGUACCGGGUGAAGCAUUGGAGGCACCACCACCGCAGCACGACACCACACUACGACAUCAACCAGAUCACAACCAAAGCAUCACCAAGAAUCACGAAGACACACUGCACCACCGAAGACCCCCACUCAUACUCCACUCAUGAAGACAUCCACCACCACUCUCUGAGACAAAGAAUUAGCCACCAUACUUUAGAAUCUACCGCUGUAUUACUCCACCUCUGUACUACCACUACUAGAAUAAAGGGAGGCCGUUGGAGCUCGUCCCUCGGUUUGUAAGGUAAUCAAGGUUUGUGCUAAGUGCUUGGGGUUUCCCGAAAGGGAAAGCCGCAUGUAAGCUUGUCCUGUGGAAAUGGAUUAAGCUGUCUUGGCAGCAUCCCUGCCUUCCUUUAAGCUCAUUCGUAUGGGGUGAUGUCUCUACGCUAGGGACCCUAGAGGAGAAACCUCUGCGCGUGUCGUUCUCGUGUUAGCCCUGGUAGCGGCGUUUGAGGAGAACCCUGUGUGCGCAGAGAAGUGUUCCCUUCGGGUGGAACUGUCUGGGGAGACGAUAGAGCCUGAGUCCUGUUUGAGCGUGGCUGGGGACGGUGAGGGUGCAGUCCGGGCUGGCCUGGUUCUGAAGCGAGCCAGCGAGGCAUACGGUGAGUACCGAGUAGGACUGUCACAAGCAUAGCAGCACGUCCUGCUGAAUCUUCGGUCUCGCCAACCCGCAAAGAUCCUGAGAAUAGGCUUAAUUAAGGAAUAUACCUAAUCACGCACCCGCGCGUGCUCGUAUCCCUGAAAGAGACCCCGAAUAGUAGCUCAAUAGUGCGCAAUAGUGAGUGAAUAGUGGCUGAAUAGUGCCGCCACCCAUAGGUGCUCCAUCCACUCCCGGUGAGUGCUCGGGCACUAUUCAUAUUCCCGAAUUUGAAUAGUGAGCUGAAUUUAAAUAGUGCCGCGAAUUUGAAUAGUGUUCAUCGAAUUUGAAUAGUGCUGUGAAUAGUAACUCGAAAUUUGAAUUCCGAAAUUUUUCGUAGUCGCUCGUUCCCUCGCCCUUGAUCGUAUUAUCCCCUCGUCCAAUACUGGUAUCAGAGCCAGGCAUGCGGUGAGUACCGAGUAGGACUGUCACAAGCAUAGCAGCACGACCGGUUGAAUCUUCGGUCUCGCCAACCCGCAAAGAUCCUGAGAAUAGGCUUAAUUAAGGAAUAUACCUAAUCACGCACCCGCGCGUGCUCGUAUCCCUGAAAGCGACCCCGAAUAGUAGCUCAAUAAUGCGCAAUAGUGAGUGAAUAGUGGCUGAAUAGUGCCGCCACCCAUAGGUGCUCCACCCACUCCCGGUGAGUGCUCGGGCACUAUUCAUAUUCCCGAAUUUGAAUAGUGAGCUGAAUUUAAAUAGUGCCGCGAAUUUGAAUAGUGUUCGUCGAAUUUGAAUAGUGCUAUGAAUAGUAACUCGAAAUUUGAAUUCCGAAAUUUUUCGGAGUCGCUCGUUCCCUCGCUUUUGAUCGUCACGAGGAGACAGUGCGCGAUAGAGGACAAGGCAAAAAGAAUAAACAGCAACUCUACUAUACCCAGGACAAUUAUUGAGGAGCGGGGAGCCGUCCAAGUGUCCAGGCAACAGAAGAGGAGAAUAGUUGAAGGCACCAGAAGCCUUAACCACACUACGACAUCAACCAGAUCACAACCAGAGCAUCACCAAGAAUCACGAAGACACACUCCACCACCGAAGACCUCCACCCACACUCCACUCAUGAAGACAUCCACCACCACUCUCUGAGAGAGAUAGAAUUAGCCACCAUAUUUUAGAAUCUACCGCUGUAUUACUCCACCUCUGUACUACCACCACUAGAAUAAAGGGAGGCUGUUAGAGCUCGUCCCUCGGUUUGUAAGGUAAUCAAGGUUUGUGCUAAGUGCUUGGGGUUUCCCGAAAGGGAAAGCCGCAUGUAAGCUUGACCCGUGGAAAUGGAUUAAGCUGUCCUGGUAGCAUCCCUGCCUUCCUUUAAGCUCGUUCUUAUGGGGCGAUGUCUCUACACUAGGGACCCUAGAGGAGAAACCUCUGCGUGUGUCGUUCUCGUGUUACCCCUGGUAGCGGCGUUUGAGGAGAACCCUGUGUGCGCAGAGAAGUGUUCCCUUCGGGUGGAACUGCCUAGGGAGACGGUAGAGCCUGAGUCCUGUGUGAGCGUGGCUGGGGACGGUGAGGCUGCAGGCCGGGCUGGCCUGGUUCUGAAGCGAGCCAGCGAGGCAUGCGGUGAGUACCGAGUAGGACUGUCACAAGCAUAGCAGCACGUCCGGCUGAAUCUUCGGUCUCACCAACCCGCAAAGAUCCUGAGAAUAGACUUAAUUAAGGAAUAUACCUAAUCACGCACCCGCGUGUGCUCGUAUCCCCUGAAUGCGACUCCGAAUAGUAGCUCAAUAGUGCGUAAUAGUGAGUGAAUAGUGGCUGAAUAGUGCCGCCACCCGUAGGUGCUCCAUCCACUCCCGGUGAGUGCUCGGGCACUAUUCAUAUUCCCGAAUUUGAAUAGUAAGCUGAAUUUAAAUAGUGCCGCGAAUUUGAAUAGUGUUCGCCGAAUUUGAAUAGUACUAUGAAUAGUAACUCGAAAUUUGAAAUCCGAAAUUUUUCAGGGUCGCUCGUUCCCUCGCCCUCGAUCGAGAUUAACAUACCAGUAUUGGACGAGGGGAUAAUACGAUCAAGGGCGAGGGAACUAGCGACUCCGAAAAAUUUCGGAAUUCAAAUUUCGAUUACUAUUCACAGCACUAUUCAAAUUCAACAAACACUAUUCAAAUUCGCGGCACUAUUUAAAUUCAGCUCACUAUUCAAAUUCGGGAAUAUGAAUAGUGCCCGAGCACUCACCGGGAGUGGGUGGAGCACCUAUGGGUGGCGGCACUAUUCAGCCAAUAUUCACUCACUAUUGCGCACUAUUGAGCUACUAUUCGGGGUCGCUUUUAGGGAUACGAGCACGCGCGGGUGCGUGAUUAGGUAUAUUCCUUAAUUAAGCCUAUUCUCAGGAUCUUUGCGGGUUGGCGAGACCGAAGAUUCAGCUGGUCGUGCUGCCAUGCUUGUGACAGUCCUACUCGGUACUCACCGCAUGCCUCGCUGGCUCGCUUCAGAACCAGGCCAGCCCGGUCUGCACCCUCACCGUCCCCAGCCACGCUCACACAGGACUCAGGCUCUACCGUUUCCCCAGGCAGUUCCACUCGAAGGGAACACUUCUCUGCGCACACAGGGUUCUCCUCAAACGCCGCUACCAGGGCUAACACGAGAACGAGACACGCAGAGGUUUCUCCUCUAGGGUCCCUAGCGUAGAGACAUCGCCCCAUAAGAACGAGCUUAAAGGAAGCCAGGGUUGCUACCAGGACAGCUUAAUCCAUUUCCAAGGGUCAAGCUUACAUGCAGCUUUCCCUUUCGGGAAACCCCAAGCACUUAGCACAAACCUUGAUUACCUUACAAACCGAGGGACGAGCUCCAACGGCCUCCCUUUAUUCUAGUGGUGGUAGUAAAGAGGUGGAGUAAUACAGCGAAGAUUCUAAAAUAUGGUGGCUAAUUCUAUCUCUCUCAGAGAGUGGUGGUGGAUGUCUUCAUGAGUGGAGUGUGGGUGGAGGUCUUCGGUGGUGGAGUGUGUCUUCGUGAUUCUUGGUGAUGCUCUGGUUGUGGUCUGGUUGAUGUCGUAGUGUGGUGCAUCCAAUGCUUCACCCGGUACCUCCUUUUAUAGUCGCGGAAGAGGCUUCUGGAGUUGCUUCGAGCUUAGGGCUUCUGGUGCCUUCAACUAUUCUCCUCUUCUGUUGCCUGGACACUUGGACGGGUCCGCGCUCCUCAAUAAUUGUCCUGGGUACAGUAGAGUUGCUGUUUAUUCUUUUUGCCUUGUCCUCUAUCGCGCACUGUCUCCUCGUGAUAUUCUGGAUGCUGCUCGAGCGACUCCGAAAAAUUUCGGAUUUCAAAUUUCGAGUUACUAUUCACAGUACUAUUCAUAUUCGGGAAUAUGAAUAGUGCCCGAGCACUCACCGGGAGUGGGUGGAGCACCUAUGGGUGGCGGCACUAUUCAGCCACUAUUCACUCACUAUUGCGCACUAUUGAGCUACUAUUCGGGGUCGCUUUCGGGGAUACGAGCACGCGCGGGUGCAUGAUUAGGUAUAUUCCUUAAUUAAGCCUAUUCUCAAGAUCUUUGCGGGUUGGCGAGACCGAAGAUUCAGCCGGUCGUGCUGCUAUGCUUGUGACAGUCCUACUCGGUACUCACCGCAUGCCUCGCUAGCUCGCUUCAGAACCAGGCCAGCCCGGUCUGCACCCUUACCGUCCCCAGCCACGCUCACACAGGACUCAGGCUCUACCGUCUCCCCAGGCAGUUCCACCUGAAGGGAACACUUCUCUGCGCACACAGGGUUUUCCUCAAACGCCGCUACUAGGGCUAACACGAGAACGACACACGCAGAGGUUUCUCCUCUAGGGUCCCUAGCGUAGAGACAUCGCCCCAUAAGAACGAGCUUAAAGGAGGGCAGGGAUGCUACCAGGACAGCUUAAUCCAUUUCCACGGGACAAGCUUACAUGCGGCUUUCCCUUUCGGGAAACCCCAAGCACUUAGCACAAACCUUGAUUACCUUACAAACCGAGGGACGAGCUCCAACGGCCUCCCUUUAUUCUAGUGGUGGUAGUACAGAGGAGGAGUAAUACAGCGGUAGAUUCUAAAAUAUGGUGGCUAAUUCCUUCUCUCUCAGAGAGUGGUGGUGGAUGUCUUCAUGAGUGGAGUGUGUCUUCGUGAUUCUCUGGUUUUCUGCUUCUCUGGUGGUUCGUUGUCUGAUGUCGUAGUGUGGCUCUGAUACCAGUAUUGGAAAACCGCGGUCGAGAGCGAGGGAACGAGCGACUCCGAAAAAUUUCGGAUUUCAAAUUUCGAGUUACUAUUCACAGUACUAUUCAAAUUCGGUGAACACUAUUCAAAUUCGCAGCACUAUUUAAAUUCAGCUCACUAUUCAAAUUCGGGAAUAUGAAUAGUGCCCGAGCACUCACCGGGAGUGGAUGGAGCACCUAUGGGUGGCAGCACUAUUCGGCCACUAUUCACUAACUAUUGCGCACUAUUGAGCUACUAUUCGGGGUCGCUUUCAGGGGAUACGAGCACGCGCGGGUGCGUGAUUAGGUAUAUUCCUUAAUUAAGCCUAUUCUCAGGAUCUUUGCGGGUUGGCGAGACCGAAGAUUCAGCCGGUUGUGCUGCUAUGCUUGUGACAGUCCUACUCGGUAAUCACCGCAUGCCUCGCUGGCUCGCUUCAGAACCAGGCCAUCCCGGACUGCACCCUCACCGUCCCCAGCCACGCUCACACAGGACUCAGGCUCUACCGUCUCCCCAGGCAGUUCCACCUGAAGGGAACACUUCUCUGCGCACACAGGGUUCUCCUCAAACGCCGCUACCAGGGCUAACACGAGAACGACACACGCAGAGGUUUCUCCUCUAGGGUCCCUAGCGUAGAGACAUCGCCCCAUAAGAACGAGCUUAAAGGAGGGCAGGGAUGCUACCAGGACAGCUUAAUCCAUUUCCAUGGGACAAGCUUACAUGCGGCUUUCCCUUUCGGGAAACCCCAAGCACUUAGCACAAACCUUGAUUACCUUACAAACCGAGGGACGAGCUCCAACGACCUCCCUUUAUUCUAGUGGUGGUAGUACAGAGGUGGAGUAAUACAGCGGUAGAUUCUAAAAUAUGGUGGCUAAUUCUUUCUCUCUCAGAGAGUGGUGGUGGAUGUCUUCAUGAGUGGAGUGUGGGUGGAGGUCUUCGGUGGUGGAGUGUGUCUUCGUGAUUCUUGGUGAUGCUCUGGUUGUGGUCUGGUUGAUGUCGUAGUGUGUUGCAUCCAAUGCUUCACCCGGUACCUCCUUUUAUAGUCGCGGCAGAGGCUUCUGGAGUUGCUUCGAGCUUAAGGCUUCUGGUGCCUUCAACUAUUCUCCUCUUCUGUUGCCUGGACACUUGGACGGCUGCCCGCUCCUCAAUAAUUGUCCUGGGUACAGUAGAGUUGCUGUUUAUUCUUUUUGCCUUGUCCUCUAUCGCGCACUGUCUCCUCGUGAUAUUCUGGAUGCUGCUUGGUAUGGUUUUCCACGCCCGAAUGAUUGACGUCGCAGACUUCAAUCAAAACAUCAUGGCAUGUAGUAUUAUUCUGCCCCGGCCGAAUUGUUGUUAACACCUUAACAACAAUGGAGACUUAUUCCCUUGUGUGACAAAAUAUUCUUUUAUGCGAGCUGUAUUUCUUAUUCUUCUUCUUCAAUAUCCGGUUCCUUGGUUGCCUCUUUUCUUGGUUAUUCUUGGCUAUCUCCACGGAAAUCCAUCAUAUCAUCAUCAGAUAUGGGUACUUCCAUUUUCAACUCAUAGUCUUUUUGCAUAUUUUUGAAUUUCUCAUCUAUUUCAAGCCUUAUUUCUUUCAUUAUUUCUUCUUUUAAAUUAUUCUUCCAUUGAGGAAAUAAUGAUUCAAGUUUUUCCUUUAUCUUAUUGUCAAUAUAUUCCUCAUUUGAUGAGUCUGCUUCUUUCUUCAGAAUUUCUUUAUAUGUUGGAGCCUUAGAUGAACCUUCUUCUUUGAUAUUUAUUCCAGAUGGGCUUGGCUUAAGCUCUCUUAUUUUUUUAUAUUUUUGGAUAUAUUCCUUAGCAGCAGGUUCUAAAAAGUAGUUUACUCCUAACAUAUUUCUAGCAUAUGUAAGAGCUUGAUCAAUGUCAGUAUAUUUCUUCCAUAGUAUUCCUCCAUCUUUAUCUUUUUCUAUUUUUUGUGCUAUUACUUGCUCAAAUGAUACAUAAAUUCCAGGAUUCUUUCCUUUAUAUAUCACAUAUAUGGCCUUUUUCUCUAUAUUUUCGGGUGACUCCUUUGGUUGUAUUAGCCCAUUAAUUGUAUGGAAGUAUUCAGCUAGGCUAUUUAAAAUAGCUAGCAUAUAUCCCUUAUCUUCUCGUUUAUUGUUGUAUUGAUACCAAAAAUUGUCUAAAAUGCAUUCUUGUACUUUGUCUAGUACAAUAUGAUCCCUUGGUUUAAAUUUAUAUGUGUUUGGAGGAAAUAUUCUUAGCUUAUUCUCUGCUCCAAAGCAGAAACAGUCAAUCCCUGUUGGACUCACUCCCUUCUUCAUUCCUGCAAAAUAGAUGAACGAGAAAAUAUAUCAGGAAGGGUAUUAUCCUUUCCCUUUAUAUGCUCAAAUAUUACUUUAUAUCCAUUCCCUGUAAUUAUAUCUUCAAAUAAAACCCAUCUUCUAGUUGAACUUUUCUUACUAUUAAUUUUAUUGCAGUAUCUACAUAUAGCUUCGCAAUCUGUUCGCACCGUGAACUCUUUAAAUCCUAGAUAUAGUCUGAAAGCAUUUAGCGCAUUAAUAACAGCUAAAAUUUCUCUAUCUGUAUUAUUUAUUGCCUUUAGUUUAUAUUUCCCUGAAGCAUACCUACAUAUUUUUUCUUCUGUUUUUGGGGAGUAUUUAUGAGGCUUUUGCUUUAAUAUAGCACCCCACCCUAUUUCAGAUGCGUCUGUUUCUAUAAUAAAAUAAUAGUCAUCUAGAGGUAAAUCUAGAGGUUUUAAUUCUUUCACCUUUUCUUUUAUGAUUCUUACUAGCUUUAUAUCUUCGGAAUUAAAAUGUUUUUGCCCGUUUUUUCUUAAUUUCGCAUAUAAUGGCCCAGCUAGUUUUGCUAAAUUUUCUAUGUAAUUUCUAGCAUAAUUUACUAUUCCUAAAAAUUGCUGCAAGGUUUUCUUAUCAUUCAUGACAUCAGGAAAUUGCAAAAUUUUCUUUGCAAUAUGAUCUUGUAAAUAAAUUUUUCCCUCUCCUAUUUCAUGGCCUAAGAAAUUUCUCUUUUCUUUGCAUAUUUCCAUCAUCUUUUUAGAAAGUAUUAACCCAUGCUGCUCUACCUUUCUAAAGAACGUUUCCAAAUGAGCUAUAUGUUCUUUAUAAGAUUUUGAAAAAACUAAUAAAUCAUCUAUAUAAACCAAUAUGAAGUCUUGAUUUUCAUUAAAGAUAUUCUGCAUUUUUCUUUGAAACAGAGCAGGGGCAUUUUUUAGUCCUAAUGGCAUUACCAACCAUUCAAAAUGACCUUGAGGACAUGUGAAAGCAGUCCAACCUAUUGAUUCUUCUGCCAUUUUUACUUGCCAAAAUCCAGCUUUUAAAUCAAAUUUUGAGAAAUAUUUGCUUCCUUGUAUUCUAUUUAUCCAUUCUUGCUCAUUUGGGAUAUUAUAUCCGUCAUCUAUUGUAUUAUCAUUUAAUCUUUUAUAAUUAAUAACCAUCCUUGACUUUCCUCUAGCUAUUUCAGCAUGAUUUCUAACUAUAAAGGCUGCUGACCUAUGGGGACUUCUGCUUUCUCUUAUUGCUCCUAACUUUAGUAAUUCUUCAAUAUGCAUCUUAAACUCCUCUAUAUCUUUAGGUGUCGCUUCUAUCGGACUAGUCUUAAUUAUAUAAUCUGGAUUUAUUAUAUUAAGCUUGCAAACUAUACCAUUCUUAUCCCAAUAUUUCAUUGGUAUUUCUCCUAUUAUUUGAAUUUCUUCUAACCUUUGUACUAUCUUAUCUAUGUCUUUCUUAGAUUUUAUAUCUCUAUACCAGUUUGGUGAUAGCGAUUGCAAACUAAUACACUCUAUGCAUGUAUUUGCUAUAUGGUAUUCUUCUAUACUUUCACCUAAUUCUUCGUCUAUAUUAUCAACAUACUUAUUAUCAUCAUACUCUUGAGUUUCUAUUUUAGCUUUUCCUUCAUUAGAGCUUAUAGUUUCUCGUACUUCUGUUAUGUAUGGAAUAUUAUCUUGAUAUGGGAUGAAUGUAAUCCCUUGCUCAUGUAUAAUUGUUGUUUGUAAGGAAUACUGUAAAAACCUUAAUCCUAAUAUCAUAUCAUCAUUUAUCAUGGAUAAGUCCCUUAUUGUGAUCUCAUCCAUUAUAUAUUUUGUAUUAUUUAUUUGUAUCUCAAUAUUAUAAGCUAACUGGUUAUGAAGCUUUUUUAUUCCUGACAUAUCAGUAGAUAUUUCUACUUUAUCUUGAUCUAUUGUAUGUACUAUCUCUGGGCAUCUUGCAAAAUAUUUAUCAUGUAUAAUAUUUUUUGUACAACCAGUAUCUACUAAUGCUAAUAUUUUAUAAGUGAUGGUAGGUGUUAAUUUUACUUUUACAGGUAUCCUUAUUCCUACAAUUUCUUUAAAUGGUAAUCUAACUAUGUAUUUGCUGCCAAAAUUAAUUAUAGCAUCUUUUAAUUGUAUAGCCUUAUCAUUAUUUUUAUCAACUAUGGCUUGAUCUUUAAACUCAGUGUUGCCACUAACAUUUCCUUCAAUCUUAUUAUUAUUAAAUUCUAUUUUACUUAGAUCUUCCAACUCAGCUUCUAAGAUAUUUACUCAAUUUUCUAAAUUUCUAACUCUACUUGCUAGUAUUUUAUGUUCUGCUAUUAUUUCUAUUUCUCGUCUCCAUUUCUGAUUAGCAUUCCUUAAACAUGAAGCACAUGCUUGUUUUAAACAUACACUACAAGUAAAUCUAUUAUCUUGACUAGGAUAAUAUAUGCAAAAAGCACACUUGAUAUUAUAAUCACCUCUUCCUUUUAUCCAAUCAUGCUCACAAUCUCCUGGAUCCAUUAAUUCAGUUCUAGCUUCUUUCAAAUCACUUGUUUCUUCGUCUUUUAUUUCUAGCGCAUCCAUAGCAUUUUCUAUGUUAUGUAUUUCCUCUUCACCAAGAGAGUUUAUAAAAUCAUUGUGACUCUGCACAUUAUUUUCUUCUUCUUCUUCAUAGCUUUCUAAAGGAUAACUUUCAUUAACCUUCGUUUGGGCUUCUUUAUCAAUAGUGGAAUCUUUCAUGAUAUCAUUUUGCGGAACUUCUUUUGCUUUAUGGCUUUUAAGGUCUACUGACUUCACCUUAGCUUUUUGCUCUUUUAUUAAUUGAGAGUUGAUUUUUUCGUCAUAAAGAUCUUUAUCCUUUUUUAACUUAUAUAACAUCCUAAUAAAAUAAACUUCUUUCUCUCUAAUAGCAGGCCAUUCACUCAACAUAGAGGUAUUAUAUUCAUGAGGUAUUUUAUUUAACUUUUGUUCAUAGUGAUGAAUCUUGCUAACUAAACUUUCCAUUAAAAGCAAGAACACUUACUUAAGGUUGUAACAGCUAAUUCAAAUAUCUUGACUAGAUAUAGAAAAACCCUCAAAAACACAAAUUUUAACAACCUCGGCUCUGAUACCAGUCUGGGAAAUCACGAUCGAGGGCGAGGGAACGAGCGACUCCGAAAAAUUUCGGAUUUCAAAUUUCGAGUUACUAUUCACAGCACUAUUCAAAUUCGGCGAACACUAUUCAAAUUCGCGGCACUAUUUAAAUUCAGCUCACUAUUCAAAUUCGGGAAUAUGAAUAGUGCUCGAGCACUCACCGGUAGUGGAUGGAGCACUUAUGGGUGGCGGCACUAUUCAGCCACUAUUCACUCACUAUUGCGCACUAUUGAGCUACUAUUCGAGGCACCACACUACGACAUCAACCAGAUCACAACCAGAGCAUCACCAAGAAUCACGAAGACACACUCCACCACCGAAGACCUCCACUCAUACUCCACUCAUGAAGACAUCCACCACCACUCUCAGAGAGAGAAAGAAUUAGCCACCAUACUUUAGAAUCUACCGCUGUAUUACUCCACCUCUGUACUACCACUACUAGAAUAAAGGGAGGUCGUUGGAGGUCGUCCCUCGGUUUGUAAGGUAAUCAAGGUUUGUGCUAAGUGCUUGGGGUUUCCCGAAAGGGAAAGCCGCAUGUAAGCUUGUCAUGUGGAAAUGGAUUAAGCUGUCCUGGUAGCAUCCCUGCCUUCCUUUAAGCUCGAUCGUAUGGGGCGAUGUCUCUACGCUAGGGACCCUAGAGGAGAAACCUUUGCGUGUGUCGUUCUCAUGUUAGCCUGUGUAGCGGCGUUUGAGGAGAACCCUGUGUGCGCAGAGAAGUGUUCCCUUCGGGUGGAACUGCCUGGGGAGACGGUAGAGCCUGAGUCCUGUGUGAGCGUGGCUGGGGACGGUGAGGCUGCAGGCCGGGCUGGCCUGGUUCUGAAGCGAGCCAGCGAGGCAUGCGGUGAGUACCGAGUAGGACUGUCACAAGCAUAGCAGCACGACUGGCUGAAUCUUCGGUCUCGCCAACCCGCAAAGAUCCUGAGAAUAGGCUUAAUUAAGGAAUAUACCUAAUCACGCACCCGCGCGUGCUCGUACCCCUGAAUGCGACCCCGAAUAGUAGCUCCAUAGUGCGCAAUAGUGAGUGAAUAGUGGCUGAAUAGUGCCGCCACCCAUAGGUGCUCCAUCCACUCCUGGUGAGUGCUCGGGCACUAUUCAUAUUCCCGAAUUUGAAUAGUGAGCUGAAUUUAAAUAGUGCCGCGAAUUUGAAUAGUGUUCGCCGAAUUUGAAUAGUACUGUGAAUAGUAACUCGAAAUUUGAAAUCCGAAAUUUUUCGGAGUCGCUCGUUCCCUCGCCCUUGAUCAUAUUAUCCCCUCGUCCAAUACAACCAAGGAACCGGAUAUUGAAGAAGAAGAAUAAGAAAUACAGCUCGCAUAAAAGAAUAUUUUAUCACACAAGGGAAUAGGUCUCCAGUGUUGUUAAGGUGUUAACAACAAUUCGGCCGGGGCAGAAUAAUACUACAUGCCAUGAUGUUCUGAUUGAAGUCUGCGACGUCAAUCAUUCGGGCGUGGAAGACCAUACCAAGCAGCAUCCGGAAUAUCACGAGAAGACAGUACGCGAUAGAGGACAAGGCAAAAAGAAUAAACAGCAACUCUGCUGUAUCCAGGACAAUUAUUGAGGAGCGGAGAGCCAUCCAAGUGCCCAGGCAACAGAAGAGGAGAAUAGUUGAAGGCACCAGAAGCCUUAAGCACGAAGCAACUCCAGAAGCCUCUGCCGCGACUAUAAAAGGAGGUACCGGGUGAAGCAUUGGAGGCACCACACUACGACAUCAACCAGAUCACAACCAGAGCAUCACCAAGAAUCACGAAGACACACUCCACCACCGAAGACCUCCACUCAUACUCCACUCAUGAAGACAUCCACCACCACUCUCUGAGAGAGAAAGAAUUAGCCACCAUACUUUAGAAUCUACCGCUAUAUUACUCCACCUCUAUACUACCACCACUAGAAUAAAGGGAGGCCGUUGGAGCUCGUCCCUCGGUUUGUAAGGUAAUCAAGGUUUGUGCUAAGUGCUUGGGAUUUCCCGAAAGGGAAAGCCGCAUGUAAGCUUGUCCCGUGGAAAUGGAUUAAGCUGUCCUGGUAGCAUCCCUGCCUUCCUUUAAGCUCGAUCGUAUGGGGCGAUGUCUCUACGCUAGGGACCCUAGAGGAGAAACCUCUGCGUGUGUCGUUCUCGUGUUAGCCCGUGUAGCGGCGUUUGAGGAGAACCCUAUGUGCGCAGAGAAGUGUUCCCUUCGGGUGGAACUGCCUGGGGAGACGGUAGAGCCUGAGUCCUGUGUGAGCGUGGCUGGGGACGGUGAGGGUGCAGACCGGGCUGGCCUGGUUCUGAAGCGAGCCAGCGAGGCAUGCGGUGAGUACCGAGUAGGACUGUCACAAGCAUAGCAGCACGACCGGCUGAAUCUUCAGUCACACCAACCCGCAAAGAUCCUGAGAAUAGGCUUAAUUAAGGAAUAUACCUAAUCACGCACCCGCACGUGCUCGUAUCCCUGAAAGCGACCCCGAAUAGUAGCUCAAUAGUGCGCAAUAGUGAGUGAAUAGUGGCUGAAUAGUGCCGCCACCCAUAGGUGCUCCACCCACUCCCGGUGAGUGCUCGGGCACUAUUCAUAUUCAAAUUCGCGGCACUAUUUAAAUUUAGCUCACUAUUCAAAUUCGGGAAUAUGAAUAGUGCCCGAGCACUCACCGGGAGUGGAUGGAGCACCUAUGGGUGGCGGCACUAUUCAGCCACUAUUCACUCACUAUUACGCACUAUUGAGCUACUAUUCGAGGUCGCAUUCAGGGGAUACGAGCACGCGCAGGUGCGUGAUUAGGUAUAUGUUGGGAUACGAGGUAGGCUACAUUAGCGUAAAUCAAAAUUUCUACCGCGUAUAACCAGGAAGAACUGCCGUAUAAGGAUCACGGGAUUACCACUCGACGCACUACUGGUGCGGAAGAUGUAGAUAUGCGUCGAUGCAGUGAAGACGAUCACGUAGUCGUACGUAGUCGAUCAACGUAGUCGUACGUAGUCGAUCACGUCCAGCAGCUCCUCAGCAACUCGUCCACGUGCAGCAAGAUCGCCUCCGGUACCGCGGCUCGUCGUCGGCUCGUCGUGGCUCGUCGGCGGCUCGUCGAUGGCUCGUCCAAGUGCUGCAGGCGCAACACCUCCAAGGUAUCCACACGUGCAGGGAGGAAGCGUCGCAAGCCGGACUGCUAGAUCCGCAAGUUGCAACAGGCGAGGGCGUGGGAGGCGCGGCAGGUGUGUUUCGCCAAAAGGUGUAAACCCUAGGGCGCCCCCACCCCUCUAUUUAUAGAGGUUCCUGAUGGGCCUCUGGAUCCGAGGCCCAUUAGUACUCCUAAACCUAAUCCAACUCGGAUCAGAUCCGAAUUGGGCUUCCAGCCCCUUAAGUGUGUGACCCUAUGGGUUCGGAUACGUAUAGACAUGGCCCGAGUACUCCUACUCGGCCCAAUAGUCGGUAGCGGCCUCUAGCAAGACGUGCCAACUCCUAUACGCACACGAAGAUCAUAUCAGACGAACCAUCACAACAUAAUAUACAUGCUAUUCCCUUUGCCUCACGAUAUUUGGUCUAGCUUCAAGCCGACCGCUCUUUCUCGAUCCUGUGAUUCGGAAUCCCUUUGUAGGUUAACUCUUAACCGUACGUAGCAUGGCCAUGCAUUUUCGGAUCUGAUCACUCGAGGGGCCCAGAGAUAUCACUCUCAAUCAGAGAGGGGCAAAUCCCAUCUUGACUGACCAUGUCUCAUAGCAUGCUUCUUGACCAACCCGAAAGCUACCUUUAUAACUACCCUGUUACAGCGUAGCGUUUGAUAGCCCCUAAGUAGGUCGAUCCACAUCUAGAAUACAUGCGACAGUCUCAGGUCUAAGGACAAAGCGUAUAUGUUGUUUAAAGAGAGAACUACUUCUCGUGUUGGGUCAGUCCUAGCACAUGUCUCCACAUGUGUCCACAUUAUUAGUUCAACAUCUGCAUGUCCAUGACUUGUGAAACAUAGUCAUCAACUAAUACAUGUGCUAGUCUAAUAUUCAUGUGUGUCCUCACAUGAACUCCGACUAGGUACAACUUUAGAAUAACCAUACAAGUAAAGAGUUUCACAUACAAUUCACAUAAUUGCAAAUCAAUUCAAGUAGCCUUCAAUGGAUAUUCAAUGAACACAACAUACAAAUCAUGGAUACAAAUGGAAUAUCAUCAUCUCUAUGAUUGCCUCUAGGGCAUACCUCCAACAGCUCCACCACCAAAGACCUCCACUCAUACUCCACUCAUGAAGACAUCCACCACCACUCUCUGAGAGAAAGAAUUAGCCACCAUACUUUAGAAUCUACCGCUGUAUUACUCCACCUCUGUACUACCACCACUAGAAUAAAGGGAGGCCGUUGGAGCUCGUCCCUCGGUUUGUAAGGUAAUCAAGGUUUGUGCUAAGUGCUUGGGGUUUCCCGAAAAGGAAAGCCGCAUGUAAGCUUGUCCCCUGGAAAUGGAUUAAGCUGUCCUGGUAGCAUCCCUGCCUUCCUUUAAGCUCGAUUGUAUGGGGCGAUGUCUCUACGCUAGGGACCCUAGAAGAGAAACCUCUGCGUGUGUCGUUCUCGUGUUAGCCCGUGUAGCGGCGUUUGAGGAGAACCCUGUGUGCGCAGAGAAGUGUUCCCUUCGGGUGGAACUGCCUGGGGAGACGGUAGAGCCUGAGUCCUGUGUGAGCGUGGCUGGGGACGGUGAGGGUGCAGUCCGGGCUGGCCUGGUUCUGAAGCGAGCCAGCGAGGCAUGCGGUGAGUACCGAGUAGGACUGUCACAAGCAUAGCAGCACGACCGGCUGAAUCUUCGGUCUCGCCAACCCGCAAAGAUCCUGAGAAUAGGCUUAAUUAAGGAAUAUACCUAAUCACGCACCCGCGCGUGCUCGUAUCCCUGAAAACGACCCCGAAUAGUAGCUCAAUAGUGCGCAAUAGUGAGUGAAUAGUGGCUGAAUAGUGCCGCCACCCAUAGGUGCUCCACCCACUCCCGGUGAGUGCUCGGGCACUAUUCAUAUUCCCAAAUUUGAAUAGUGAGCUGAAUUUAAAUAGUACCGCGAAUUUGAAUAGUGUUCGUUGAUUUUGAAUAGUGCUGUGAAUAGUAACUCGAAAUUUGAAUUCCGAAAUUUUUCGGAGUCGCUCGUUCCCUCGCCCUGGAUCGUAUUAUCCCCUCGUCCAAUACUGGCUCUGAUACCAGUCUGGGAAAACCGCGGUCGAGGGCGAGGGAACGAGCAACUCCGAAAAAUUUCGGAUUUCAAAUUUCGAGUUACUAUUCACAGUACUAUUCAAAUUCGGCGAACACUAUUCAAAUUCGCGGCACUAUUUAAAUUCAGCUCACUAUUCAAAUUCGGGAAUAUGAAUAGUGCCCGAGCACUCACCAGGAGUGGAUGGAGCACCUUUGGGUGGCGGCACUAUUCAACCACUAUUCACUCACUAUUACGCACUAUUGAGCUACUAUUCGGGGUCGCAUUCAGGGGAUACGAGCACGCGCGGGUGCGUGAUUAGGUAUAUUCCUUAAUUAAGCCUAUUCUCAGGAUCUUUGCGGGUUGGCGAGACCGAAGAUUCAGCCGGACGUGCUGCUAUGCUUGUGACAGUCCUACUCGGUACUCACCGCAUAACCACACUACGACAUCAACCAGAUCACAACCAGAGCAUCACCAAGAAUCACGAAGACACACUCCACCACCGAAGACCUCCACCCACACUCCACUCAUGAAGACAUCCACCACCACUCUCUGAGAGAGAUAGAAUUAGCCACCAUAUUUUAGAAUCUACCGCUGUAUUACUCCACCUCUGUACUACCACCACUAGAAUAAAGGGAGGCCGUUGGAGCUCGUCCCUCGGUUUGUAAGGUAAUCAAGGUUUGUGCUAAGUGCUUGGGGUUUCCCGAAAGGGAAAGCUGCAUGUAAGCUUGACCCGUGGAAAUGGAUUAAGCUGUCCUGGUAGCAUCCCUGCCUUCCUUUAAGCUCGUUCUUAUGGGGCGAUGUCUCUACGCUAGGGACCCUAGAGGAGAAACCUCUGCGUGUGUCGUUCUCGUGUUAGCCCUGAUAGCGGCGUUUGAGGAGAACCCUGUGUGCGCAGAGAAGUGUUCCCUUCGGGUGGAACUGCCUGGGGAGACGGUAGAGCCUGAGUCCUGUGUGAGCGUGGCUGGGGACGGUGAGGGUGCAGACCGGGCUGGCCUGGUUCUGAAGCGAGCCAGCGAGGCAUGCGCCUACUGGCCCGGCUCCGUCCGCCGCCCCGGUCCUCCUCCGUCCCUCCGCCGCCACCGGGGACAAGGAUGGAAAGUGAUGAGGAGGAGCCGGAAUAAGCCACUUUUUUUUGCUUCCGGUGGGUGGAGAAACGUAGAGACCGCAUUUUGCGGGGCUUCUACUGGUUUUCGCGGGUGAGCCGUUUUGCCUUCUCCCGUUUGGCACGGCUUCAUCAAAAGCCACCCUAGAAGCCGCUCGAUGAGCCGUGCCAAAGGGGCCCUAAGAUUGUCUAAAACCUGAGGUUAAUUUUUCGUCCUACGGUUGCUCGCUCCCCGCGCCCCGCGCCAGGCCGCCCUCGCCACGUGCCUCCGCCUAGCCGCGCCCCCCUCUCCCCGCGCCGUCGGGUGAACCACAUGCGCCCGCGCAGGCCCGAGCUGCACGCCUCGCCUCCCGUGCCACAUGCCACCGCCUGGCUGCGUGCGCCCACUCCCCGUGCCCUAACCAACGGCCCGCCGCUGGCCUCCUGCCACUGCCACCGCACCAAGCCGCCCUUCGCCCGCAGGACCUUGGGAGAGAGACGAUCGAGAGAUAGGUUGUGCCAGCCUCUGGAAGCAGUAUGGAAACAUAAGCGGCAACUUUGUCUUUUCAUUGGGCUUCUGUUCUUUUUCUAAUUGCUUUAUUCUGCGUGCAGGUAACAGAGUUAAGGAUAAAGGUAAAUCGGAGCCUUCGAAAAGCAGGGUAAAAUACACAAAAUCAAAGAUAAUAGAUAGGAUAAAAGUUAAAUGCACCGAGGGUACUUGAACUUGUGGGUUGUGUCAUGUAGGUAUAUCAACUCUGAAAAUGCAUUUUUGUCCCCAAACUUGCUAACCAUGGUAAAUAGGUCCAAAUCUACUCUAAAACGCAUCUCUCUCCUCCAAUCCCUCUCAUCAUUCCUAUUAACGCUGCCGUGGACCCCUCCCUCUCAUUCUCUCUCUUUCUCUCUCUUAUCCCCCACCGCCCUCUGCUCCCUCCUCCCGUGCCGCUAGCCGCCCCAUCGCUCCCUUUCCACCGGCCGACGCACCUCCCUACCCCCGCUCCGGCGGCCACCGCGCCUCCCUCUUCCCCCGCCGCCACCGGCCGCCCCCUCUCUCCCUCCUCUCUCUUCCCUAAUCCCUGCGUCGCCGGCUCCUGGUCGGUGGCGGAGGCAGGGGUGCGAACGCCGCCGUGGUAGCGCAGGUGCAAGCGCCAGAGCCUGUGCUACCUCCUCUCUCCUCCCGCGCCGCCAGCCACCCCACGAGCCCCGGGUCCGCGGCGGCCUUGUGGUCGCUCCGCACGGUGUUGUGCAGCGCCAUCUCCCCGUGCCUGUUCGUGGCCCGGGCCAGUGCGCGCAGAGAGGAGGACGAGGUGGAGAAGGUGACGAGGGGCGCGACAACCUUGUGCACCCCGGCGUGCACCACGAGGUGGAGCGGGGUAUCGAGCGUGGCAUUGCACGGGGCGAGGAGGCAGGGGGCGCGGCGGAGGAGGAGCGAUGCGAGGUCCACGUGCCUGCCCAUGGCCGCAACAUGGAGGAGCGUGUUCCCCCGCCGUGGUGGCCGACUUGAGGUCCAGGGCGGCAGGGUCCGCCAGGAGCGUCGUGACGAACCGGCGCUCUUCGCCGCUGCGCGCCACGCGAAGCAGCGCGGGGCCCAUGGUCGGCAGCGCGGCAGUAGCAGGCAGCGGGCGCAGGGUCAGGCAGGGGGACACGGUGGUGGUGGUGGGCAUGGACGGCGGCGAGGCCUCCGCUGGCUCCGGCGAGGCCAUCGUGCGAGCGAGAGUCGGUGGUGGACCAGGGGGAGGGGGGAGGCGGCCGGCGGCACGGAGUGAGGGCGGAGCGGACAGCAGCGUGGGAAGGGAGGAAGGAGCAGUGGCCGAUGGCGCAGGAGAGGCAGCACCGGCGGCUACGCACGGGGAGGUAGUAGAGGUCGGUGGGAAGGAGAGAGAGAGAGAGAGAGAAAGAGAGAGAGAAUGAGAGGGAGGGAGGUCCACAUCAACGUUGAUAGGGAUGAGGAAAGGAAUUAGAGGAGAGAGAUGCGUUUUAGAGUAGAUUUGGACCUAUUUGGCACGGUUAGCAAGUUUGGGGAUAAAAAAUACAUUUUCAGAAUUCAUAUACCUACGUGACACAGUGCCACAAGUCAAGGGCCGCCGGCAUUUAACUUAUAGGAUAAAAUAGGGAUAAAAUCACAAUUAGAAUUCAAAACAGGGCAAGAACACGAUAACCCCUUCCUUUAGUAAUAUAUUCUUUUGAAUAGAAAUUCCAUUAAACGUCUGACACGGCACAAUAGCUGGCCACCAUGAUUUUGACGCCUGCUGGCGCUCCGUCCCAAGUGAGCGAGGUCAGAAUUACAUGGGGACAUAAGAGGUUAGAGCCCAUUGCCGCUAGAGUAUGUGCUACCUUAUUUUACAUUCACGAGGGCAAAAGCUACAGAAAAAAAACUAGAAAAGUUAAGAGUGACAAAAAAAGUUACAUACUAUAUAGCGUUUUAUUUCUACGAUCACUCCACCAGUUCGUGCCAAGCUAAAAUAUGCAUUCUUUUAGAGCCGCUUUCACCAACAAAGAAUCCGUUCCCAGCUCCAACAUGCUGUAUACCCCGCUCACUUGCUGCUUUGAUCCCGGACCAACAGGCAACAGGUUAACAAUUCAGUGGUGCAGACCGGGUCCGGUUUUCUGAAAGGAUGCAUGUGGGCUGGUCAACCCGUGGCAUUGCCCAACUGAACUGGGCCUCCAAGACUAGCGCCGUCUGCAGGCCGGCCUCGUAGUUCAUGGCGGAAUGGCUUCCUGCUUCUUCGGCGCCGUGCCGACGGCGGCUGCCACAACGAGGCCUCUCGAGGAGUAAGGAAUUUUUUUGUUUUCAUAUUUUUUUUUUCGAAUUUGCAGAAAUAAAUAGACGAUCCAAAUUCGCAAAAUGCACCCGUACCGCCGAAUGAAACGAUGAUAGCUACGCUACUGCCAGUUGAAAUGGCGGUUGGAGUGGUGGACCUAGCUACUAGCUACCGCCAUUUGAAUAACCGGCUACCGCCGGUUUAGAUGGCGGUAGCUAGGCACUCCGCUCUAACCGCCGGUUGCGUUGUGUGGAGCCAGCUACAGCCAGUUGAAAUGGCGGCUAUAACUUAGUUUUUUUAUUUUUGUGUAAAUUUUUCUUCGAGAUAAAAAAAUAUCAAGUUACAUUAGAAGCAUUAAAUAUUCGAAUAUGUUACUAUUGGUUGCAAUAUGAAACUUUAUAAUUUGAGAGAGAUAGAGCACUUCAAGGAAAUAAUUGAAAAUGAAUAACAUCCGGCCAUUACAUACAUAGCUGUUUCCAGCGAAAUUACGACAGAAAUUACGACAAAUAGAAACAAAAUUUGUGCACAACAUACGAACACCAACAACUCGAGAGUGAACAAUUAAUUAUAGAUUGCAGGGGCAUAUGCGGCAUGGAUGCUAUCCUAAACAUGAGUCAUUGCUAACCUAACAUGCCUUAGGUAAUUGAAAUAGCCGGGGAUAGAACCAUCUCUACUUUCUAAUAGAACUGGCUUUGCGAGAGCUGAGAGGGUCCAGCCUCAUAGUAGCCAGCACCCCUAGAAGAUGGCGGAGAUUGAGGGUGAUCCUUUUUAUGGUGGUUGGGGCACUUGCACCAUGGAUCAGUACAAAACAUUUGCAAUGAUCCUCAUUCAUAUCAUCUCGUCCGUGCCGGUGUAUAAUAGAAUCGGCACGAACACCAUGGACGGUUUACAUAUGGACUUAGAAAUUCGUAACUUUUACAUACAGACUGGGAUGUACACAAGCUUUAUAAAAAAAUAUAUAUUUCGACAAGAUCUAAAAUUUUGUAGUUGAAAGUUUUCAAUUUGAAGUUGGUUAGAUGCCCAGAAUUAUAACUUUAGCAUGACUUUUGCAUCCCUCAUAAUUAAAAUUUCAAGUUUUAUUUGGAAAUUCGUAACUUCGUGAUAUAGAUUCGCAUAAAGACAAACUUUAUAUGAAAAUUCUAGGUUUGGAUAUGAUCUACAACUUUCUAGUUCAAAGAUUUCAGUUUAAAGUUUUUCAUAUGUCAAAUAAUGUAUAUAAUUUUAGCUUUGUUUCCGCGCUUGUAAUUUGAAUUUCAACUUGUAUUCGGAAAUUCGUAACUUUUGCAUAUGGGUGGAGACAAAUUUUGUAUGGAAUUUCGAUGAAAUAUACAACUUUGCAAUUGAAAGUUUUUUUUAUUUAAAGUCAUUUAGAUGUUCAAAUAAUGAAUCAAAAUAUCAGUCAACAACAAGAUCAAAAGGAAUAAAACUUUCCUUUGUGUACAAGUAUAUGGUAUAGCCGUAUAGGUGGAUAGUAAGGAGUUAUCGCGCGAGGGGGCACGUCAUGAUUAGAAGGCUGGACAUCCCACGUGCGCGAAAUACGCCUAACUUGUGACUUCCAGUUUUUACUAUCUGUGAGUCGUAAAAUAAUUUUUACUAUUUGAAUUUAUAAAUUCAUAUCUUUACUAUCCGUGUGGGUGGGCACAUUGGCACGUAUAAUCCUUCAUUUGUACCAGCUUCGACGGCAGCACAAAUAACUAUCUGCAUUCGUAUCGACUUAGGGAUGCUGUUCCGUCCACCCAUGCGAAUGAGGUUUUUGCAUCAGCACGUAUGAGAUGCUCUGCAAUAGUGGUGCAAAGAAGUUUUAAAAAAAAAACAGAAUUCUCGUAAUUAAAUUGGAUCUUCCGCCAAGCAAAGAGAACCAUAAAUUUGGGAAUGACGAUAGAUAUAAACAGUGAGCACCUGAUGGGGGCUGGAACUUGAAGAUAUCCUGCAACCCUGAGGCGCUUACACAUCAGAUGCCCAGUUCCCGCGCCAAACGAAGCGGAUAUGGUGUUGAGGUGCAGUAGCUUGUGUACACCGCAAGUCCACAAUAUGAAUAAAUGAUGUACUAUGAGCAUCUAGUAGGCUAAAGACGAGAAAUACAGUCUUAACUGAAGUUUGACAAGCAUUUCUGGCCGAAAGAAAGAACUACAGAGUGAAAUUCUCAAGUGACCAUACUUGCAAGGUAUGCUCGUACAUGUUCAAAUUUGAUGUAAAUCUGCAGUUCUGUCCGAACAAAUAAUUUUUUAGCUGUGAACACUGCACAGCAACUCGCGAGAAUUUUUUCCCUCAGCCUUUUUUAUCCGUAGAUUUUGGGAUCACCGAAACGAAACAUCGUGGAAUGUGAGGCCGUGCUUUACAAAGCACUUUCUCGUUCCCAUCGUGCACGCCUAACGUAAAUGGAAUCCCCAUCUGCGACUGUGAGGCCCUGAGAAUUGAGGGCCGAACUGAUGGCGAGCGCCGCCACGAGCGUGAUGGGGUCCAUCAUCUGCAAGCUGACUGCCAUGCUCGGCGAGAAGUACCAGCUCGCCAUAGACGUGAAGAAAGGGAUCCGCUUCCUGAAGGAUGAGCUGAGCACCAUGGAUGUCGUGCUGCAGAAGCUCGCAGACAAGGAAGACGACCAAAUGGAUCCAAUGGCUAAACAUUGGAGGAACAAGGUGCGUGAGCUAUCCUACGAUAUUGAGGAUUGCAUCGACCGCUUCAUGCUCAAUCACAGCCAUGGAGGUUCCAAUGCUAACUUUGUUCGCAAAGCCACGCGUAAGGUGGAGAUGUUGUGGGAGGACCAGGGCAUAGCAACGGAGAUCCAAGAACUCGAGAUACUCGUGAGAGAGCAGAGUAAGCGGGCCAAACGCUACCGCGUCGAUUAUCUCGCCCCCUCACCUCAGCCGAUGCGCUUGGAUCCUCGAGCAACUGCUCUCUUUCAGGAGGCAAGGGAUCCUGUGGGAAUUGAUGGUCCUCGCGAGGAAAUCAUCCAGUUAUUACAAGUUGAAGAAAAUCAACACAAGGUGGUGUCCAUCUAUGGUACCGCUGGGCAGGGGAAGACUACUCUAGCUAUGGAGGUGUGCCGAAAAAUUACAGAAGCAUUUGAUUGCAGGGCUUUCGUGUCUGUAUCUCAGACUCUGGAUAUGAAGAAGCUACUCAGAGAUAUAUUGUCUCAAAUAGUAAGCACGAGCGAGUUUGACCAGUCGGAAAGCUGGGACACGGAGCAGCUCAUACGCAAAAUGAAAGACUACUUAAUUGACAAGAGGUAACCAGAAUUACUUUCUUGUACUAUAAUAAUUAGCCAGUUCAUCUAACUAUGGCAAUGUUGUGGGGUCUUUGUCGAUCACAUGAGCUCACCUAAUUUAUAGGCCAUUUUACGAUUGUUUCCGGAAAUUAUGAAACGAAGAUUCAAAAAUUUUACGGACCCAUUCGAGUAUAAAACUACCACAUAUGCAUUUGUUAUAGCUAAGAGCAACUCCAAAAGCUCUUUUUUAUCAAGGAAUAAAACAGAUGAAGAAUAGAACAGAUACUCCGAUAGCUUCCUCGAACUGUCUGCAUUUUUACGCGGACGCGAAAAAAGCCACCGUUACUCCGCAUAUAUUCGCAAGCCCUCCCCAAUCGGCCUCCCGAGCAAAGCCCCGCAUCCUGCUCCGCUGCUCUGCCUGGGCCUGCUCCGCCCAAGGCCGGCGCUGCACAAGGCGAGCGCAUCUACCUACAGGCUACAAGCCGGUGCUGCUGAUGGCGGCAAAGCAGAUCCACUGCAGCGCAACGCUGCCGAAGCUUGCCUCGCGUGCGGAGGUGGCUUGCGGCGUCGCAAUUGGAAGUGGCUGCGGCAGAAGGAAAAGCGAAGUUGUUUUCUCUCAGUAGCACACAAAUUGAACUCCCACACUGCAAACAAUUGCUAAUUUACCAUUAUUUUUUAAUUCAAUUUUGGGAGCAACUCUAGCGGGAGCAACUCUUCCCUACGGUUGCUUUCCUUGCCUCGCAGAUGCCACUUUGGCCUCGUGGCCGUCUGCCUUGCCGCGCGCCACCGCCCCUCAGCCUCCCGCGGGCGUGUGGGCUUGGGGUUAACUAUUAGCGGUUGAUAUGUUUUUGGGAAAAAAAAUUUAGAAGAACCUCCAAUAUAUAGUUUUGGAAAGAAUUUUUUUAGGAAAUUUUUGAAGUUGCUCUAAAACAAGGUCAAGUCAACUGCCCCCGAAGGUAAGCGUAUGUUGUUGGAGUUGAGCUGUACUGUACUAUAUAAAAUGAUUGUGUGCGAAUGAUAUUUGAGUAAAAAAUUAUUUACUGAGUACCAUCAAAUAAUUCCAGAUUCAGUAAAAUUAUUUCUUGAUAACUGCAACCAUGUUUGUUUCGUAUAGCCAUUCUAAAUAUCAUCCAUAAAAAUCUUCUUUAAAAAUUAAGUAUUCAAAGUGAAUGCUUCUUGUUUUUCAGUGGGCCUCAUGUGGCAGCUACUAUUUUGGAGGUUGUAAACAGAUUCUUUUCCGAUAAUAGAGGAAGUAGUUUCCAGCCUCUAUUCCUAGCACGUGUAAUACGAACUGACAGAAAAAAUGAGCCACCACUAUCCAUCUCUUUACUUUUCUCCAAUAUCUUUCACCAUGAUAUGCUCUAUAUGUUGAAUAGUUAUGGUGGCCUUGUAACAUGAUUCCUCAACCAAUGCAUGCAGGUACUUCAUCUUGAUUGAUGAUAUCUGGAAAGUAUCAGAUUGGGAGCUUGUAGAAUGUACCUUACCUCGCAAUUGCAACGGAAGCAGAAUAAUUACUACAACACGCAGUAAAACAGUAGCCGAAACGUGUGCUCGUAUUGAUGGACAAAUGUACAAAGCAAAGCCACUUGGUGAUGACCAUUCUCGCAGAUUAUUCUUUAAAAGGCUAUUUCGCUCAACUGAACAUUGUCCCCAAGAUUUGAUGGCAGUAUCCAGUGAUAUUUUGACCAAAUGUGGGGGAUUACCAUUAGCCAUAAUCAGUAUAGCUGGUUUAUUAGCAAACAGAAGCAAAACAAAGGAAGUCUGGGUCAAUGCAUUGAAGUAUAUUUCUGCUGCAGUUGACAAAGAUUCUCACAUGGAUGAAAUGAAAAGAAUUUUUCUGCUUAGUUACUUUGACCUUCCUCUUUAUCUAAAGAGCUGUAUGUUAUAUCUGAGCGUGUUCCCGGAGGAUUAUUUGAUUGAUUGUAGACGGUUGAUAUUGUUAUGGGUAGCCGAAGGACUGAUUCCUGGACAAGGCAGAGAAAAUAUGGAGCAGCUUGGGAGGAGUUACUUGAAUGAGCUGAUCAAUAGAAGCUUGGUCCAGCCAACCAAGGUUGGGGCAGAUGGCACAACAGUGAAAGAGUGCAGAGUUCAUGAUGUCAUACUUGAGUUUAUUGUAUCAAAGGCUGUGGAGGAAAAUUUUGUUACUAUAUGGAAUCGUAAUGGGUUUUCUGAAAAUUAUUCUUCUAACAAGAUUCGCCGUUUAUCUAUCCAACAUGACAUUUCUUGGCGGGCUGAAGAGAUGGUCAAGAUAAAAGAACAUGCAGCUCAUAUUCGAUCAAUUAAUACUUUUGGCUCUAAUUCAGUGCUGGUUAAAAACACCUCUAUGUUUUUAAUUAGCCAAGUCUUGCGAGUGCUGAAUAUAGAAGAUUGGGAGAAGUUACGUGAAGAUUGCUAUCUUGGACAUGUCAGAAGUUUUGGUCAAAUGAAGUACUUGAGGUUAGAAAGUAGGUUAUCAGUAUGCCACUGCAAACUCCCAGAAGAUAUAGAAAAGCUGCAACAUCUAGAGAUACUAGAUGUUAGGUGUACCAGCAUUGAAAAACUACCGGCUAGUAUUAUCCAACUGCAGAGAUUAGUGCGUCUUCUUGUCGACUCGCGGACCAAACUACCCGAUGAAAUUGGAAAGCUACAUGCAUUGGAAGAGCUAUCAGUGAUCGGUUUGGGUUCUCAAACUAUAAAGUUUAUCCAAGGACUCCGCGAUCUGACCAAUCUGAAGGUACUUGGAAUUGAUUGGUGGUACACUAAUGCAGUACAUCACACGGACGUGGAAGGCCACAUGAAAGCAUGUAUCUCGUCACUCUUGAAGCUUGUCACAACCCUUCGAGAACUGUAUGUGGAGGAUACUCCUGAUGACACACUUUCAUUCAUGGCUUCGUGUGCCUCUACUCCACCACCCCUUCGGAGGCUCGUCUUUAAAGAAAAUCUUGGACCAAUUGUCGUGCCCCAUCAAAGGCUCAUCUUCAACGAAAAUCAGGAAUUUAUUGUCCUGCCCCAUCAAAUCAUCAGCUCACUAGUCAACCUGACCCGCCUCUGUAUUGGACUAGUAAGCCAGGAAGGGAUAAAUAUCCUAGCAAGUUUGCCCAUGCUCCUCUCUCUUACUGUUCGUGUUUUCUUUGAAGAGGAUGAUUCUGAAUUAUCCGAUGAAGAGGAUGAUUCUGAAUCAUUAUCCGAUGAAGAGGAUGAUUCUGAUUCAUUAACCGAUGAAGUUGAUGAUUCUGAAUCAUUAACCGAUGAAGUUGACGAUUCUGAAUUAUUAUCCGAUGAAGUUGAUGAUUCUAAAAUAUUAUCCCAUGAAGAGGAUGAAGAGGGUGCUUCUGGAAUCUGGUAUACAAUCAGCAGUCAUGGAUUCCAGCGUUUAGUCAAGUUUAAUUUCUACUGUUAUUCUGAGGAGGCGUUGGAGUUUGAGCCAGGAGCCAUGCCAAAGCUCCAAAGGCUCAAGCUGAACCUGGUGGCACGGGGUCAGUUCAAUUAUAAGCAAGGCGGCCUGGUCCGUGGGCUGCAGAAUCUGGCAGACCUCAAACAUGUUGCUCUUAGUAUUAACUGUGAAGAAGCUACUCUUGACGAGGUGCAGGGUUUGGAGGAUGACAUCAGGGUUGCAGCAGGCGUCCAUCCCAACCGUCCCAUGCUCCAGGUCGAAAGAAGUUUUCAAGAUAGUAUGGCUGAAGGGUGCAGCAGGCGCCCACCCGACCAUCCCAUGCUAGAAGCACAAUGACCAAGUAAACGCAUGGUGUGAAGAAUAAAUAUCAUUAUCAAUGAUGAUCUUUUUUUCUGUUUCGAGAGUAUGUUGGAAUUAAACAAGGUUAAUUCGAUGUGUUUUCCUCUUAGUUUUUGCUUUAUUCUCAGAGACUGCACCGCUGAUUCAUAAAUAUCUCAGUCCCUCACAGGGAGCAUAUAUAAACUGCUUGUCCCAAUCGGUACCGUAGCUUUUGUGUUUUUUUUAAUACAAAAGGAUAGUCUAAGAAUCAAUUGACAAGGUUGGGAGGCCAGACAUGCAUCAUUAAUAAUCUUUAUUGCUAAACUUUCACCCAACCAUGGCAAAGAUGUCCAUACUAGCCUCCAUGCAUUGGCAAGCCGAACACAUCAUUUUUCUCAUUUGCUCCUCCUGUAGAACCGACUAAAAAUCUUAAUCUUCAGUGCAAGUUUCAAUUUCUCUGAGAAGUGAUUAACACUCGUAUGUAUAGAAUUAAGUGCAGCCCUGUACAUGGAAUGAACAGAGAAAACCCCACUAUCAUUCGAAGGCCACAAAAAAGUCAUUUCCAUUGUUUAAGAUUUUUUUUGGAAUAGAUUUUUCUUUAAUUUUCCUUCUUCCGUGGAAAAGACAUAAAAAUAUGUACAGCGCAAGAAAAAUCAGAAAGUAAGUUGGGGAUGUAGCGCUCAACUGGUAGAGCGUUAAUCUAUGCAUGAUAAAGGUACAGGGUUCAACUCCUCGGACACGUCGCCGUAGCUGGAGCUCGCUGGCGAGACACUGGAAGCAUACCCGUGAAGGUACAGGCAUGAACCGAUGUCUCAUAGAUCAAUUGUGAGAAGCGGAUGCUUCGAUUUAUUGACCAAUGCAAUUUAUUAUGUUUGGCAUGAUAUUUUAUAAGUUAACUCAACAUAUUGCAAUUUCCCAAAAUAAAAUUCUUGCCGCCAAAUCAAUCUUUGCAAUUCAAGAAUACACAAAGUGUUACUAUCAACACAAGAUGAACACUGCCAGAUUGACUGCUUGUCUAUUUUGAUUCUUGACAUUUAGGGCGAGUAUGCACUUAAAAUUGUUACAGUUAUAAUGAACUUUAUGUGUUACACAUGAUUUUGACAGAUUUUCAAACAUAGCGUUUUAUUCCGAAAAUCACAACACUAGUUGGUGCCGAGCUAAAAUCUGCGCCCUCAAGAGCCGCUUUCACCAACAAAGAAUCCGUUUCCAGCUCCACAUGCUGUAUACCCUGCUCACUCAGUAGAGAUCGCCAAGCCCAUGAGGGCCAACAAUGGCGCAGGAGGCCCAGCAACACAAACAAACAAUGAAGAGACCGGGAUCCUAUAUUACUUCCGGUUGCUAUUUUAUUAAUUAAAACUUAUAAUGUUUGAGAUCCGUGCAACCUCAUCUUAACCGCACAGCAGCUGGGGCGUGGACCAGGCAUGCAUGCAUGCGCUGGCGCAGGUUGACCACCGUGGUUGCCAGUCGGUGGUUUAUCUUUUGGAUUUCAAACUUCAAACUACUUUUUCUCGCAAAUCGUGAAUUCAUUUUCGAAUCCAUUUGUACCACUAUGUUGCUAAGAAUUAAUGUAACAUAAUAAGAUCCAAUAUAAAUAUAUUUAAAAUUAACAUUUUGGAUGAUCCAUGUCAACAUUUUAAGUAUUUUACUUCAACAUUUUCAUAUCAAAUGUUGAACUAGUUUAUUUGAAAUGUUGAACUUAGUUUAAAAUAAUGUUGAAUCUAGUAUUUAAAAUGUUGAGUAUAUUAGUCUGAUAUUUUGAAUAUAUAAAGUCACAAAAUCUUUUGCAAAAAUAAUAAAAUAAGAGUGCACGUUACCUAGCAUGUACCCCUGCGUCCUCUAGCUGCUGCUGUCCUGGGAGACCAAGAUAUGUACUGGGUGCGUGCAAUUGGGGCAAUGAAGUGAUUGCUGGGCUGUGGUGGCUUGAUGGGCUGUGCGAUGGAUUUUCAGCUUUUGUGCAAAAAAAAAAAUUCGAAGAAAAAACUCUGCAGCUUCCAAACCAAGUGUCCAAAUCAAAUUUCGAUUGAACCAUAGCAUUUCUUACGAAGAUCUACAAAAUAAUAUCACACUUGACAAUAUUUUGAAUCAAAUUGUUUCUGAACAUUUUUCGAAUACACCAAUAUUUUAUUUAUGUUGACCCACAUUUUUCUUUUUUGAACAUUUUUUAUUUAUUUUUUACAUGUAGCAACAUUUUUUUACAUUCACUAAUAUUUCUUAACAUUUGUCAACAUUUUCCCUAAAGCCGAGCCUAAGUUUCACAAAUAUUUCUUGAUGUUCAUUAAUAUUUUUUAUAUGCACCAACAUUUUUAUUCAACUUUUUACAUCCACAGCUCACUUUUUUUUACACACACCAACAUUUUUCUUCAACCUUUUUACAUUCACCAACAUUAUAGCUAAUCAUUUGUUUUACACACACCAAUAUUUUUCUUCAACUUUUUUACAUUCGCCAACAUUAUGGCUCAACAUUUUUUAUACACACACCAACUUUUUUUAAAAAAAAUACUAUUUCAACAUUUUUUCUUCCAAUGUAUGCAUGUUUAAGAUAUUACUACAAUAUAGUCAAUAUUUUAGAAGACUAGAUUUAACAUUUAUAUACACACUAGUUCAACAUUUCCAAUAAAGUAAUUCAAGAUUUAAUGCAAAAAUGUUGAAACCAUAUAUUCAAAUUGUUGAGCAUGUAUAUUCAAAUGUUGAAGAGCGUAUUUGAAAUGUUGAUUUUAAAAAAAUCAAAAUAUAUUUAUGUUGGAUCCUGUUUUGUUGCAUAAAUUCUAAAUAGCAUCGUGGUUUAAACGAAAUCUAAAUUGUAUUUACGGUUUGAGAGAAAAAUAAGAUUAAAAUUUUGAAUCUAAAAGGAAUCUUAACCAUCCACCACCAACCACCCAUGACCCAUGCAUGCAGCCAGCCACCCACCUGUCCACAGCUGUAUCCAAACUGCGUGUGUGCUCCCACCCGUUUUAAUCUCAAACAUUGGAAGAUUGGUUGAAAAAUUUCCUCCGGAAGAUGGAUAGGAAUUCCGUGCUGACUCACUGGCUGCUUUGAUCCCAAGCUGCCAGCCCAACGGGCUAACAAUUCAGUGGCGCAGACCGGGUCCGCGUUUUCUGAAAGGAUGCAUGGGGUGGGCAAUCCGUGGCCUUUGCCCAGCUGAACUGGGCCUCCAAGACUAGCGCCGUCUGCAGGCAAGGCCUUCUCCCUUUCUCGUAGUUCGUGGCGGAAUGGCUUCCUGCUUCUUCGGCGCCGUGCCGGCGGCAGCUGCCACAGAGAGGCCUCUCGAGGAGUCGAGGGUCGAAGGCCUCAACCCGUCUGCGGCGCGGCUGCCCUUCAGUCACUGGUGCUAGCCCCUCCCGUAAAUCAGUUCGUAAUUUCUCCGAGUUACAAGAUAUUUUAUUACUUUCUAGGUGAUGAAUUUCGACUGGACACUCCUAGAUCUUAGGGAUUCAGUUUCAACUUUCAACUGUAGGCGUGCAAAUUUUCGCUUCACAUAUUAUCAGUUCGAUUCUAGAUAGAUCUUUGAGGACUCGAGACGGUGUUACAGGGCACAAGAAUGCUUUUUGGGCUGUAUGGCGGCAUGAGCUACAAUUUGCUGACACCCUGUUUAUCUUUCAUCCCCAGGCUCUGUCAUUUGAGCUUGUUGUCCUCUUACUUCAUGUAGGUUUAAGUGGAACGUGCUAGACAGCAAACAAGCUGAUUGUGCAGACAGGAAGGCACCAACUGUCGGCUAUUUCAACGAGUGGUUUAUGGACCUGUAUCAUAGGAUCAUCUUACAGUGCCGCUGAGUUCAGUAUUGCUAGAUGCAUUGUAGACUGCAGAGAUUGCAUCUAAAUGCAAGGGUACAACAUUAAUAAAUUAAACAUUUUUGGCAAUUGCAUUUAAACAACGAAAGGUCCCAAGUCCUUGGAUGGGAAUCAAAAUCUGAAUCAAUGGGGAAAAAUAUACCACAGCUGCGAUGAGGCUGGGCACGCCCUGAUCGCAGAUAAAGUCAGGGUCCAUUAAAAAGGAAAUGCUAAAGCAUGGCAUAACUGCAAUUGUAGUUGCAUUAACAAUGUCAAAGAUCUGAUGACUUAUUUAGUUAUUUGGAAAGGAUUAAACGCCUGACGUUGCUGCGAGCAGAUGUGAAGUGCAUUUCUACUCCUGUGGUACACGUGUGCCACUUCAGAUGCGGAGCUCUUGAACAUACUGCAUCUUCUGCUGCAUCUUUUCGCUAUCCCAAUGACCUCUGAAGUCCUUGUGCAAACUCAGCAGCCACAGUUUCUUAAGAGAACGAAGGGAUUCAAUACCUUGGGGGACCUUGUCGAGCUUUAGAAGUGACACAACAUAUAAACCCUCAAUCUGUUGAAGGGCACCGACUUUGAUCUCCACCUUGUCAACAUUGGGCAUGCGCUUCAAGACAAGCGUCUUCAGCUGUGGGAAGCACCCUUUAGAAAGAACUAAGGUGUCUGCAGUACUCACCCUGUUAAGACUAAGAUAGGUGAGAUUCGGCACGUAAGGUGCAAGCAGCUGCAGUGGAUCUUCCUGAAGGUGGCACCAGCUAAUAGCUAGAUAUUUGAGAUUUCUGCCACUGUCACGGAAUACAGGGCACUCAAGUGUCUUAUCUGCCCAGCACCCUCUGAUUAUCAAUCUGUGGAAGUUUUCAGAUGCUGGCUUCAGAUCUUCCAAAUGAAGUGUCUCGUUCUCAUCACUUGCAGAGAGAAGCAAGCUGGAAAGAAGAGGCAUCUUUGACAGUAUAGAGAAAAGGUUUGCGCAAUCCGCUGCACUUAUGUUGUCAAUCCACACACUCCUUAGUUUCGUAAGUUUUAUCAGCUGCUCAGCCAGGUCCUUGUUGGCUUCCACAGUUUCUAGAGUCUGAAGUUCUUCCAAGUUGGAUAGCUCUUUUGGUGCUUGCACUCCAAUGAAGUACCGGAACUCUGACUGCUUCUCAUCUGCAAAUCUGUCUGCCAGAAGGUGCCGUAACUUCUUGAUUUUAACAACACCUCUUGGUAGCUUCUCUAUUUUUGUUGCCUUUAUGUCCAGUGUUUGGAGGUUGGAGAGCUUUCCAAUCGAAUCUGGGAGUGAUUUAACUCUUGUGCGACGCAGACCAAUGUAGCGUAGAUUAAACAUAUUUCCUAUGGAUGCUGGCACUUCACUUAUUUCAGAAUCUUGCAACUCUAGAACUGUCAGGUACGUGGAUUCAGAAAGAACUGAAGAUAACAACUGAGGGGAGGAUCCAAUUAUUCCGAGUGCAACUGCGGUUCUAAGGCGUGGCAGUUGAAUUUUAACUUUCAGUGAAGUUUUGUCCUGCCAUCCACAGGAAGACAGGCGACGAACACCCUUGUCCAUCUUCACCAAUGUGCCAAAAUCAUACGCAAAACCAAACUUCUCCUCUUUAGCAACAGAAAGUGCCAGGUCACGCACAAGGUCAUGCAUCUUACAGGUGUGGACCCUUCCUAGCUCAUCGUUCUCAACAGCUUCCAGCAUAUUCCUUUGGAUCAGUUCCCUUAGGUAUCUGUCGGCCACCUCCUCUGGUGUGCUUUGUUCAUUUUGAAGCGCAAAACCUUCUGCAACCCAUAGCCAAACAAGGCUCUCUCGUGACAUUAGGUGAUCCUCAGGGAACAAGCUACAAUAAAAGAAGCAGUUUCUAAGAUUUCCAGGUAAGUCGUGGUAGCUCAGAUUUAGAAUUGCACGAACAUGAUCAUUGUUCGUCAGCUCAUCCUGAAAUUGCUUGUAUGUUUCGUUCCAAACUUGUUUAAUUGGUGGCAGUGCAGACAACAGGCCACCCAUGGUUACGAUUGCAAGUGGAAGUCCUUGACACCUAUCCACUAUAUUGUUGGCCAGCUUCUCAAGUUCAUCGGGGCAGCUGCAAUUUAUGCUGUUAUAGAAAGCCUUUCUGCAAAACAGCACAAGUGCAUCACCGUGAUCCAAUGGCUUGAGUUUGAGUUGACAGGUGGGGUGAGCAAGGACUGCCACCUGUUCCUGUCGCGUCGUGAUGAUAACACAACUUGCUUGGAGGUUCUGGAAUGCAUCCCUUAUCUGAGUGUAUGCUUCUUGAUUCCAUACAUCAUCCAGUACAAUCAAGCACUUCCUACCAGCUAGUCUUUCCUUUACUUUUUCUUUCAAGUCAUGGGCAUCCAAAUCCACUAGCUGUGACUGUUCUGGCUCCCCAAUCUUCCUCAGCAGUUUCCUCAGCAAUUCAACCACAUCAUAAUUCUGAGAUACAACGAUCCAAGCAUGAGUGGUGAAAUUGUUCUUCUCCCGCUCGUACACAUUUGUGACAAGGGUGGUUUUUCCCAAUCCACCCAUACCAGAUACUGUUAUUAAUCUGGUAAUUUGCUCGUCUGAGUUCAACCAUCCAGUCAGCAGUCUCCUGUUUUCUUCAAUUCCCACAAGAUCAUCUUGAAUAACAUCCAGGAGGCAGUCCUGCGACCGCUUCCUUUCAAUAUCAGCAAGUAAAUUGGGACUGAGCUGGGACUGAGGUAGCCACCGUUCUUUUCGCUUCACAACAUUUUCGAUUUUCUUCUCUAUCUUGGUAAUCUCCUCAGCGAUUUGACUGAAAACUGUGAUGUAGUGAGCUUUGGUGAAGAUCUUUUUCACCCUAUUUUCUUCCUCCAAUUUAAGAGCAUGGUAUGAAUAUUUGUCAAUGACAUCCUCAACAUGGUGGGCUAGCUCUCGCACCUCUGCAAUCCAACCCUUCACAAGCUCAUUGAUGAGGCUUGGAGUACCUAUCUGUUUUAUUAAAUUGUCCAUCAUGUUUAGUUCUUUCCCUAUUUCCUCAACCUUCCUUGGUAGUUCCUUAAGAUUUGCAACUUUCUCUGAUAGCUUGUUUACAACGGUCUUCGUGGCUUCCUCCGUUAAAAUGUUUCCAAUCUUUGAAACAACAAGGAGUACAGCUUCUGCCAUUUGUUCUGAACAUCAUAAAUGCAGAUCAUGUUACAUAAUGCAGUAAAUAGAUUUAAAAAUAACAAAAUAUAAUGCUGUUUCAUGAUCAUAAUGGCUGAUUCUUGGAAUCAGAAGAAACAAAAACAAGACAGGAAGAGUUCAGUUUAUAAAGAAUUGAACUUUACAAUUUCAGUCAAUUUCCAUGUAACAAUGAAACUAAUACUGAAUGUGCGCUGAAAAUUUCAAUCCCAAAAUUUGACGGUAAAAUAAUUUUAGUUCAGUAAACUAAAGUAUAUACUCUAGAUUUUACAUUUAUAUUCACUUUUCAAAUAUUUGUUACAUUUCAUAGUUCAAAAACUAAAACAUUUCAUUGAGCAUUAAUCCAGAAGAAGCAUAGCUGAAUGAAAUUAUGAGCAUGACCUACACUGUAUGAGAUAUCAGAUAUUAUUUCUUUGUAAAGCAUCUAGUAAACUUGUUUGUUGUUCAUCAAGGAAUUCUUUCAAGUUGUUUAUUAUGCACUUCUUAUGAUCCCAGAUGUUCUGAAGUUUCCAUUUCUUAAUUGUUUAGGUAGUUAGGCCUAGUGCUCAGUGUGUUCAACAUUCUAGCUCCAGAACUUCAUGCUGCUAUAAUCGAUAUAUCCUCGCUUCAUUGAGUCCUUGUGACUUUUGGAUCUCUAGGUGGAGAAUUGCAGUCUGCUUGCAGAGUUUCAUGAUGAAUUUUCAAGUUGUGCGGGACAUACAUGCCUAAAUUUAUUUCUAUGGAAUAGUUUCUGAAUCCAUCAUGCAUCGAGGGGUUCUUACUGAUGACACGGCAUUUGCAAGGUUUAUAUUCAAAAGUGCUGCGGGCAUAAUGCAAGAUGGAGCUUUUAAUUUAUUAAGCUUUUGCGGCAAUGUCUGUGGCACUGCCACGGAGAUGGCCUUUAAGGUUUAAUAGUUGAUUUGCCCCUGCCUUUAGGACAGAUAUUGCAGAGCGGCAUGUUGGAAUUUCUAAGGCUGCAGAACAGUUUGCUGUUCUUUGUGUGGUAAAAACUGCAAUAUGUGUAAAUGCUUGUGCCUCUUAGAACUUGGGACAUUUUUUUACACUAGGACGUAUUCAGAUGCAUCCGCAGGAACAGACAAUGUUCCCAUCCAGAGGAGCUGUACUAUAGUGUUUCGGCAAGUCUGUUGUGGUGGCUUCUGGAAUUCAUGGGCUUGUACAAGCUUGUUUGUAGCGUCCUAGUUGACCUGUUAUUAGCUCUUCAUUUUUUAGUAUUUCCUUCUGCUAGUCUUUUGUAAUCCUUAUAAUGAUGCAUGUACUUCCUCCGCCUCACGAAGAAUGCAAUUAAAGGACUCGAAAUUGGUCCAACAUAGAACGCAAUUGUUGCUUUUACAUCAGCUUAUGGGACCCACUUAAUUGUGCUCUUUACUUUAAACUUCUCGAUUCACAAUUAAUUGUAGUAGGUUACAGAAACAUCGUAUUGUGACACCCGAUCUAAUUUAGUGGUCCAGUAGUGGCCUAUUAGCGUUAUAUGCGCAUGUGUUAGUACCACAUUGCAAAGGUUUAUAAGUUAGCUCUAUGCCUCUACCCUUGCUCAACUACCAACAUGGUACUAAACAUACGCACGUACAACACUCAUGAGCCACUACUCGACCACCAAAUUGGAUCGGGUAUCACAUGCCUCCCAAAAAAAAGAAUCUGACUUUGGAGGACGACAUGUUGCACAUCUACAUAUGCAUGUGAUCCUUUCCUAAUAGGGCUACCAAAGUCAUUUUCCUUCUUAAGAUUCCUAGAAUUCCAUUGUUUAUGGGAACUAGGAAGUGUGGCUACGAAGAAGAAGGGCCUAUAAUGCCGUACACCAACCUUGGAAACGGGGGAUGUUCCUAGAAGUAUGAUACUGUUUGCAAUAAGUGGAUUUUGUCUUGAUUAAAUCGUAUAUCCAUGGUAAAUAAUCAUAUCACACCAACUCCACAGGCAUAGAACCAUAUGAACGAAGCUGCAAACAGUUGGGAGCGAGAGUUCACCUGAUGGGUACUGAGACUAGUAGAUGGCCUGCAAACUGGACGCUGCAAGUCAGAUUUCCAGUUCCAACUGUUUGGUCUCAAACCUGCCAAAAAAGAAGAUGUUUUAGCCAUGUAUAUUGUAUACUGCAAGUGGAAUAUGUUCAAACACUAUUAGAGAAUUGAGCUUUAGUCCCAGUUGGUAGGGUUCAAAGGUCCCGAAAAUCCAUCCGGGAUUAAUUUUUUGAGACAAGGGGGUCCUUUAGUUUCAGAAAAAAAAAUAAAAAAAGGCCACGUGGCCGGCCGGCCGCCACCCGCCUCGGCUCGUGCCCACACCCCCACCCGCCCGCCGCUCCGCGCCUGUGCCUCCGCUUGCCCGCCGCUUGGCCGCCCGCGCCGCCCGCUGCUUGGCCUCCCGCGCCUCCGCUCGUUGCUGGGCCGCCCGCGCCCGCACCGCGCGCCGCCUCCGCUCGUCGCUCGGCCGCUCCCCCGCGCGCCAGCCCUGCCCUCGCCCCGCUACCACUCCUCACUCCAUUUCUUAAUUGUUUAGGUAGUUAGGCCUAGUGCUCAGUGUGCUCAACAUUCUAGCUCCAGAACUUCAUGCUGCUAUAAUCGAUAUAUCCUCGCUUCAUUGAGUCCUUGUGACUUUUGGAUCUCUAGGUGGAGAAUUGCAGUCUGCUUGCAGAGUUUCAUGAUGAAUUUUCAAGUUGUGCGGGACAUACAUGCCUAAAUUUAUUUCUAUGGAAUAGUUUCUGAAUCCAUCAUGCAUCGAGGGGUUCUUACUGAUGACACGGCAUUUGCAAGGUUUAUAUUCAAAAGUGCUGCGGGCAUAAUGCAAGAUGGAGCUUUUAAUUUAUUAAGCUUUUGCGGCAAUGUCUGUGGCACUGCCACGGAGAUGGCCUUUAAGGUUUAAUAGUUGAUUUGCCCCUGCCUUUAGGACAGAUAUUGCAGAGCGGCAUGUUGGAAUUUCUAAGGCUGCAGAACAGUUUGCUGUUCUUUGUGUGGUAAAAACUGCAAUAUGUGUAAAUGCUUGUGCCUCUUAGAACUUGGGACAUUUUUUUACACUAGGACGUAUUCAGAUGCAUCCGCAGGAACAGACAAUGUUCCCAUCCAGAGGAGCUGUACUAUAGUGUUUCGGCAAGUCUGUUGUGGUGGCUUCUGGAAUUCAUGGGCUUGUACAAGCUUGUUUGUAGCGUCCUAGUUGACCUGUUAUUAGCUCUUCAUUUUUUAGUAUUUCCUUCUGCUAGUCUUUUGUAAUCCUUAUAAUGAUGCAUGUACUUCCUCCGCCUCACGAAGAAUGCAAUUAAAGGACUCGAAAUUGGUCCAACAUAGAACGCAAUUGUUGCUUUUACAUCAGCUUAUGGGACCCACUUAAUUGUGCUCUUUACUUUAAACUUCUCGAUUCACAAUUAAUUGUAGUAGGUUACAGAAACAUCGUAUUGUGACACCCGAUCUAAUUUAGUGGUCCAGUAGUGGCCUAUUAGCGUUAUAUGCGCAUGUGUUAGUACCACAUUGCAAAGGUUUAUAAGUUAGCUCUAUGCCUCUACCCUUGCUCAACUACCAACAUGGUACUAAACAUACGCACGUACAACACUCAUGAGCCACUACUCGACCACCAAAUUGGAUCGGGUAUCACAUGCCUCCCAAAAAAAAGAAUCUGACUUUGGAGGACGACAUGUUGCACAUCUACAUAUGCAUGUGAUCCUUUCCUAAUAGGGCUACCAAAGUCAUUUUCCUUCUUAAGAUUCCUAGAAUUCCAUUGUUUAUGGGAACUAGGAAGUGUGGCUACGAAGAAGAAGGGCCUAUAAUGCCGUACACCAACCUUGGAAACGGGGGAUGUUCCUAGAAGUAUGAUACUGUUUGCAAUAAGUGGAUUUUGUCUUGAUUAAAUCGUAUAUCCAUGGUAAAUAAUCAUAUCACACCAACUCCACAGGCAUAGAACCAUAUGAACGAAGCUGCAAACAGUUGGGAGCGAGAGUUCACCUGAUGGGUACUGAGACUAGUAGAUGGCCUGCAAACUGGACGCUGCAAGUCAGAUUUCCAGUUCCAACUGUUUGGUCUCAAACCUGCCAAAAAAGAAGAUGUUUUAGCCAUGUAUAUUGUAUACUGCAAGUGGAAUAUGUUCAAACACUAUUAGAGAAUUGAGCUUUAGUCCCAGUUGGUAGGGUUCAAAGGUCCCGAAAAUCCAUCCGGGAUUAAUUUUUUGAGACAAGGGGGUCCUUUAGUUUCAGAAAAAAAAAUAAAAAAAGGCCACGUGGCCGGCCGGCCGCCACCCGCCUCGGCUCGUGCCCACACCCCCACCCGCCCGCCGCUCCGCGCCUGUGCCUCCGCUUGCCCGCCGCUUGGCCGCCCGCGCCGCCCGCUGCUUGGCCUCCCGCGCCUCCGCUCGUUGCUGGGCCGCCCGCGCCCGCACCGCGCGCCGCCUCCGCUCGUCGCUCGGCCGCUCCCCCGCGCGCCAGCCCUGCCCUCGCCCCGCUACCACUCCUCACUCCAUUUCUUAAUUGUUUAGGUAGUUAGGCCUAGUGCUCAGUGUGCUCAACAUUCUAGCUCCAGAACUUCAUGCUGCUAUAAUCGAUAUAUCCUCGCUUCAUUGAGUCCUUGUGACUUUUGGAUCUCUAGGUGGAGAAUUGCAGUCUGCUUGCAGAGUUUCAUGAUGAAUUUUCAAGUUGUGCGGGACAUACAUGCCUAAAUUUAUUUCUAUGGAAUAGUUUCUGAAUCCAUCAUGCAUCGAGGGGUUCUUACUGAUGACACGGCAUUUGCAAGGUUUAUAUUCAAAAGUGCUGCGGGCAUAAUGCAAGAUGGAGCUUUUAAUUUAUUAAGCUUUUGCGGCAAUGUCUGUGGCACUGCCACGGAGAUGGCCUUUAAGGUUUAAUAGUUGAUUUGCCCCUGCCUUUAGGACAGAUAUUGCAGAGCGGCAUGUUGGAAUUUCUAAGGCUGCAGAACAGUUUGCUGUUCUUUGUGUGGUAAAAACUGCAAUAUGUGUAAAUGCUUGUGCCUCUUAGAACUUGGGACAUUUUUUUACACUAGGACGUAUUCAGAUGCAUCCGCAGGAACAGACAAUGUUCCCAUCCAGAGGAGCUGUACUAUAGUGUUUCGGCAAGUCUGUUGUGGUGGCUUCUGGAAUUCAUGGGCUUGUACAAGCUUGUUUGUAGCGUCCUAGUUGACCUGUUAUUAGCUCUUCAUUUUUUAGUAUUUCCUUCUGCUAGUCUUUUGUAAUCCUUAUAAUGAUGCAUGUACUUCCUCCGCCUCACGAAGAAUGCAAUUAAAGGACUCGAAAUUGGUCCAACAUAGAACGCAAUUGUUGCUUUUACAUCAGCUUAUGGGACCCACUUAAUUGUGCUCUUUACUUUAAACUUCUCGAUUCACAAUUAAUUGUAGUAGGUUACAGAAACAUCGUAUUGUGACACCCGAUCUAAUUUAGUGGUCCAGUAGUGGCCUAUUAGCGUUAUAUGCGCAUGUGUUAGUACCACAUUGCAAAGGUUUAUAAGUUAGCUCUAUGCCUCUACCCUUGCUCAACUACCAACAUGGUACUAAACAUACGCACGUACAACACUCAUGAGCCACUACUCGACCACCAAAUUGGAUCGGGUAUCACAUGCCUCCCAAAAAAAAGAAUCUGACUUUGGAGGACGACAUGUUGCACAUCUACAUAUGCAUGUGAUCCUUUCCUAAUAGGGCUACCAAAGUCAUUUUCCUUCUUAAGAUUCCUAGAAUUCCAUUGUUUAUGGGAACUAGGAAGUGUGGCUACGAAGAAGAAGGGCCUAUAAUGCCGUACACCAACCUUGGAAACGGGGGAUGUUCCUAGAAGUAUGAUACUGUUUGCAAUAAGUGGAUUUUGUCUUGAUUAAAUCGUAUAUCCAUGGUAAAUAAUCAUAUCACACCAACUCCACAGGCAUAGAACCAUAUGAACGAAGCUGCAAACAGUUGGGAGCGAGAGUUCACCUGAUGGGUACUGAGACUAGUAGAUGGCCUGCAAACUGGACGCUGCAAGUCAGAUUUCCAGUUCCAACUGUUUGGUCUCAAACCUGCCAAAAAAGAAGAUGUUUUAGCCAUGUAUAUUGUAUACUGCAAGUGGAAUAUGUUCAAACACUAUUAGAGAAUUGAGCUUUAGUCCCAGUUGGUAGGGUUCAAAGGUCCCGAAAAUCCAUCCGGGAUUAAUUUUUUGAGACAAGGGGGUCCUUUAGUUUCAGAAAAAAAAAUAAAAAAAGGCCACGUGGCCGGCCGGCCGCCACCCGCCUCGGCUCGUGCCCACACCCCCACCCGCCCGCCGCUCCGCGCCUGUGCCUCCGCUUGCCCGCCGCUUGGCCGCCCGCGCCGCCCGCUGCUUGGCCUCCCGCGCCUCCGCUCGUUGCUGGGCCGCCCGCGCCCGCACCGCGCGCCGCCUCCGCUCGUCGCUCGGCCGCUCCCCCGCGCGCCAGCCCUGCCCUCGCCCCGCUACCACUCCUCACUCCAUUUCUUAAUUGUUUAGGUAGUUAGGCCUAGUGCUCAGUGUGCUCAACAUUCUAGCUCCAGAACUUCAUGCUGCUAUAAUCGAUAUAUCCUCGCUUCAUUGAGUCCUUGUGACUUUUGGAUCUCUAGGUGGAGAAUUGCAGUCUGCUUGCAGAGUUUCAUGAUGAAUUUUCAAGUUGUGCGGGACAUACAUGCCUAAAUUUAUUUCUAUGGAAUAGUUUCUGAAUCCAUCAUGCAUCGAGGGGUUCUUACUGAUGACACGGCAUUUGCAAGGUUUAUAUUCAAAAGUGCUGCGGGCAUAAUGCAAGAUGGAGCUUUUAAUUUAUUAAGCUUUUGCGGCAAUGUCUGUGGCACUGCCACGGAGAUGGCCUUUAAGGUUUAAUAGUUGAUUUGCCCCUGCCUUUAGGACAGAUAUUGCAGAGCGGCAUGUUGGAAUUUCUAAGGCUGCAGAACAGUUUGCUGUUCUUUGUGUGGUAAAAACUGCAAUAUGUGUAAAUGCUUGUGCCUCUUAGAACUUGGGACAUUUUUUUACACUAGGACGUAUUCAGAUGCAUCCGCAGGAACAGACAAUGUUCCCAUCCAGAGGAGCUGUACUAUAGUGUUUCGGCAAGUCUGUUGUGGUGGCUUCUGGAAUUCAUGGGCUUGUACAAGCUUGUUUGUAGCGUCCUAGUUGACCUGUUAUUAGCUCUUCAUUUUUUAGUAUUUCCUUCUGCUAGUCUUUUGUAAUCCUUAUAAUGAUGCAUGUACUUCCUCCGCCUCACGAAGAAUGCAAUUAAAGGACUCGAAAUUGGUCCAACAUAGAACGCAAUUGUUGCUUUUACAUCAGCUUAUGGGACCCACUUAAUUGUGCUCUUUACUUUAAACUUCUCGAUUCACAAUUAAUUGUAGUAGGUUACAGAAACAUCGUAUUGUGACACCCGAUCUAAUUUAGUGGUCCAGUAGUGGCCUAUUAGCGUUAUAUGCGCAUGUGUUAGUACCACAUUGCAAAGGUUUAUAAGUUAGCUCUAUGCCUCUACCCUUGCUCAACUACCAACAUGGUACUAAACAUACGCACGUACAACACUCAUGAGCCACUACUCGACCACCAAAUUGGAUCGGGUAUCACAUGCCUCCCAAAAAAAAGAAUCUGACUUUGGAGGACGACAUGUUGCACAUCUACAUAUGCAUGUGAUCCUUUCCUAAUAGGGCUACCAAAGUCAUUUUCCUUCUUAAGAUUCCUAGAAUUCCAUUGUUUAUGGGAACUAGGAAGUGUGGCUACGAAGAAGAAGGGCCUAUAAUGCCGUACACCAACCUUGGAAACGGGGGAUGUUCCUAGAAGUAUGAUACUGUUUGCAAUAAGUGGAUUUUGUCUUGAUUAAAUCGUAUAUCCAUGGUAAAUAAUCAUAUCACACCAACUCCACAGGCAUAGAACCAUAUGAACGAAGCUGCAAACAGUUGGGAGCGAGAGUUCACCUGAUGGGUACUGAGACUAGUAGAUGGCCUGCAAACUGGACGCUGCAAGUCAGAUUUCCAGUUCCAACUGUUUGGUCUCAAACCUGCCAAAAAAGAAGAUGUUUUAGCCAUGUAUAUUGUAUACUGCAAGUGGAAUAUGUUCAAACACUAUUAGAGAAUUGAGCUUUAGUCCCAGUUGGUAGGGUUCAAAGGUCCCGAAAAUCCAUCCGGGAUUAAUUUUUUGAGACAAGGGGGUCCUUUAGUUUCAGAAAAAAAAAUAAAAAAAGGCCACGUGGCCGGCCGGCCGCCACCCGCCUCGGCUCGUGCCCACACCCCCACCCGCCCGCCGCUCCGCGCCUGUGCCUCCGCUUGCCCGCCGCUUGGCCGCCCGCGCCGCCCGCUGCUUGGCCUCCCGCGCCUCCGCUCGUUGCUGGGCCGCCCGCGCCCGCACCGCGCGCCGCCUCCGCUCGUCGCUCGGCCGCUCCCCCGCGCGCCAGCCCUGCCCUCGCCCCGCUACCACUCCUCACUCCAUUUCUUAAUUGUUUAGGUAGUUAGGCCUAGUGCUCAGUGUGCUCAACAUUCUAGCUCCAGAACUUCAUGCUGCUAUAAUCGAUAUAUCCUCGCUUCAUUGAGUCCUUGUGACUUUUGGAUCUCUAGGUGGAGAAUUGCAGUCUGCUUGCAGAGUUUCAUGAUGAAUUUUCAAGUUGUGCGGGACAUACAUGCCUAAAUUUAUUUCUAUGGAAUAGUUUCUGAAUCCAUCAUGCAUCGAGGGGUUCUUACUGAUGACACGGCAUUUGCAAGGUUUAUAUUCAAAAGUGCUGCGGGCAUAAUGCAAGAUGGAGCUUUUAAUUUAUUAAGCUUUUGCGGCAUGUGGCACUGGCACGCAGAUGGCCUUUAAGGUUUAAUAGUUGAUUUGCCCCUGCCUUUAGGACAGAUAUUGGAGAGCGGCAUGUUGGAAUUUCUAAGGCUGCAGAACAGUUUGCUGUUCUUUGUGUGGUAAAAACUGCAAUAUGUGUAAAUGCUUGUGGCUCUUAGAACUUGGGGCAUUUUUUUACACUAGGACGUAUUCAGAUGCAUUCGCAGGAACAGACAAUGUUCCAAUCCAGAGGAGCUGUACUAUAGUGUUUCGGCAAGUCUGUUGUGGUGGCUUCUUGAAUUCAUGGGCUUGUACAAGCUUGUUUGUAGCAUCCAAGUUGACCUGUUAUUAGCUCUUCAUUUUUUAGUAUUUCCUUCUGCUUUUACAUCAGCUUAUGGGACCUAAUUAAUUGUGCUCUUUACUUUAAACUUCUCCAUUCACAAUUAAUUGUAUUAGGUUACAGAAACAUCAUAUUGUGACACCCGAUCUAAUUUAGUGGUGUAGUAGUGGUCCAUUAGCGUUAUAUGCGCAUGUGUUAAUACCACAUUGCAAAGGUUUAUAAGUUAGCUCUACGCCUCUAUCCUUGCUCAACUACCAACGUGGUACUAAACAUAUGCACAUACAACACUCAUGAGCUACUACUCGACCACCAAAUUGGAUCGGGUAUCACAUGCCUCAAAAAAAAAGAAUCUAGCUUUGGAGGAUGAGAUGUUACGCAUCUACAUAUGCAUGUGAUCCUUUCCUAGUAGGGCUACCAAAGUCAUUUUCCUUCGUCAUUAGUCCAUCUUAAGAUUCCUAGAAUUCCAUUGUUUAUGGGAACUAGGAAGUGUGGCUAUGAGGAAGAAGGGCCUGUAAUGCCGUACACCAACAUUGGAAACGGGGAAUGUUCCAAGAAGUAUGAUACUGUUUGCAAUAAGUGGAUUUUGUCCUGAUUAAAUCGUAUAUCCAUGGUAAAUAAUCAUAUCACACUCAACUCCACGGGCAUAGAACCAUAUGAAUGAAGCUGCAAACAGUUGGGAGCGAGAGUUCACCUGAUGGGUACUGAGACUAGUAGAUGGCCUGCAAACUGGACGCUGCAAGUCAGGUUUCCAGUUCCAACUGUUUGGUCUCAAACCUGCCAAAAAAAAAGAUGUUUUAGCCAUGUAUAUUGUAUACUGCAAGUGGAAUAUGUUCGAACACUACUAGAGAAUUGAGCUUUAGUCCUAGUUGGUAGGGUUCAAAGGUCCCGAAAAUUCAUCCGGAAUUAAUUUUUCGAGACAAAGGAGGUCCUUUAGUUUCGGGAAAAAAAUAAAAAAAGGCCACAUGGCCGGCCGCCUGCGCUCGCGCCACCCACCGCCUGCCUCGGCUCGUGCCCACACCUCCACCCGCCCGCCGCUUGGCCUCCCACGCCUCCGCUCGUCGCUCGGCCGCUCCCCCGCGCGCCAGCCCUGCCCUCUUCCCGCUGCCGCUCUUCACUCCCAGUGAGGGGUGAGUAGAGGGGGAAGGGGAGGGGUAGCAGAGGGGGAGGGGGCGGCGGCGACGCAAGGAGAGGAGGUGGCGGCAGAGAGGAGGAAGGGGAGGUGCCGGAGGUGGAGGGAGAGGAGGAGAGGGAGAAGAUAAGAUUGAGCAGAGCAUUUUGUCGCAGCCGGAGCCACCAACCGAGAUAAAAGCCCCUUUUAUGCCGGUCAGUAAUUUCAACUGGGAUUUAACAAAAGCCUACUUUUAUUCCGGUCAGUAAUUUCAACUGGGAUUAAAUCUUUUGUCCUAGUUGAAAUUUCCAAACGGGAUAAGGGGUUUUUGUCGCGGUUAGAAAUUCCAACACGGACAAAAGGGGGACGUUUAUUUACAACCGGGACUAAAGCUCUUCUCGUCGAUAUCUUUUCUGUGUCUUAUUUUUAACCCGGAACUAAAGGUAGUCCUAGAUCCAAAGUUAGCCGGGAUAAAAAGAGUUAGAUAGAAGGUCAAUUCUUUAAUAAUAAAAGCGAUACCGAGAGCAUACUUGUAAGAUUGAAAACAAAACUGUGGUUAAAUCAGAUCUAGACAAGCACUUUUUUGUGCCAAAAGAAAUCAUUCGCCAAACAGGAAGGAGCUUGCCAACUGCGAAACAUGCAAGGUAUGCUGAUCUACCUUCGAAUCUGGUGUUAAUUGCGAAGGAAAAGAAAAAAAAGAAGAAAACUGUUGCAAACAAGGAGUGAUUUACUCGCAACACACACAAACACCACUGAAAGAUUCGUUCUAUCCAAGCCUCUUUGAGAGCAAAAGAACUCUGAACUAGCAUGCGAACUGAAUGGUUGAUCAGAACAGCGAAGUAAUCAGACCUCGAGAGAGCCCCAGGGGAGCUGGUUGCCUUUGGUUAACCGGCCGAUCCGUCGAAGCGCGGCAGCUGUGUAUUGUGUUUGAGCUGGUUAUAGGCGUGUAGGCUUGUAGCUAAGGCUGAAGUACUCGCGGUGGAGUUCGGUGGUAGAGAAGACCACUGGGACUUGCUGGUUCAGAUAUGAAGUUCUGCCUUCACCAGUGGUUCAGAUAUGUUGUUGGUCGAGAAGACCCAGUGUCAUCUCGCACAUGCGCAAAGACUUGGCCAAGUCCACGCGUUCACUGUUUGGGAGCUACCCCAUGGGAACCGGGUCCAGUGCGGCACGUUCUGAGUCCUUUCUUCCCCCUGAACUUUGCCUUGUCCAAUUCAGUUGCCAACUUGUCCUUGGCCCCACCAACCAUGUGCCCAGAAAUUUACCUUUGCAUCAUUGGUCACGUCACAGUUCAUGGUACAGUGCACGGUCAGUAAGCAACACUUGAACUGUCACUAAUACCAACUGACAAAGCAAAAAAGGAAAUCUUUUUCUUGAAAAAAAUGACAAAAAAAGGAGGAAAGCAAUAUGAACCAAGAAAUAGUAAUAGGCCGCAUCAAAAUGAUUCGUUUCAAACAACACACGGAGACCUUGCAGAAACCCACAUGCUCAAGGCACCACGAGAUGUGAUGGGCAUAAGUUUACAUAAACGAGAUUUUUUUUUUUGUCUAAUUUUAGGUGGCAACCGGGUAAAUAUGCUAAGUCUCCUUAGUCAAUGCCCACCUAUUUCCAACUCGGAAAAAGCUGUCCAAAGGAACGAAGAUUUUCUCCUUUUUUUCCCUCUUGUUGAAUAAUCCAACACACGGAGACCUGCACAAGCAGGCCGUCAACCGUCUUUCUCUCCCCUGUCGCUGUCCUCGCCGGAAGAGGAGGAGAGAAGCACACCGGAGAUCUGCCAUGGCCGCCGCCGCUGCCGUCGAUACUCCUGGUACGUACGUGCUGCACAGACUUGACCAUCGAUCCCCCUGCCCAUCUCUCAGGGCAAAAAAUCUCCAAAAGAAGUUCUUUACAAAGUUUUUCUUUCCUUAUAUCUUCACCGGAUCUACUGCUUACCUUGCUCACAAAUCGUAGUAAAACUCUGAAUCCCUCUGUGUUUCUUUCUGUGGUCUCCAAGCACAGGCUACUUCGUUGGCGCUCCAUCGCACUACCAGAAGCCGCAACCGCGCCCGCCGCCGGUGCCGGCGCAGGCCGUCGACGAGCAGAACGCUAUGAACACACAAGUCCCAGGUGCGUCCUUGCAGUUCUUGCUUGAACGACUGCGACUUCUUGCAUCCUGCCCUGAUUUCACUUAAUUUUUCUCUUUCCUUUUUCCAUCAAAUUUCCUGUUAAUUGUUAACGGAACUCGAUUGGAUUUUUGUUUUUCUUCUUUUUUUGGUGGCACGAGCAGGUUACUACUCUGGGCCUGUGCAAGGGAGGCGAGAACCUGCUGCAGAGCACAACAACCCUGCUGACACUGCGGUUCAACAGAGCCAAGAACAAGGCUUUCUUGCAAGAUGGUAAAUGGUUUGAUGCUUUGAUUGUUGUAGGGACUAUUUGGACAUCAAAUCGAUCUGUUUCUAUGCCUGGUCUGAUGGUUCUCCGUUUGCUGUUAUCAGGUUUGGAUGCUUCACCGGCAGAAGUGGAAAUGCGAACUAAACCCAGGACAUCCCUGCUCGGAGCUCAGUAGAGGACCAGGCAUCUGGAUGGGUUGCAGGAACCUUUCAGAUUCUCGGUUCUAUGAAACUUGUUCUUCGGCAUUUCCGUUGUAAUAUUGGACCAUAUUACAGGCUCAAUGAGGUUGUUCCUUGUGUUACCGUUGUUUUCACUGUGCCUACUUAUGUAAACCAAUGGAAUUUCUUCCUAUAGUACAUGUCUGCGAUGAAUUGGAGCAUCUUACGGAACUUUGUUUUUACGCCUUAUGGGGUUCUUACUCUCUAUAUAGCCCUUAUGUGCGUUGACAUUUGUGCGAUAAGUUCUUUUUAUCAGAACACUAUAGUGCACGAAUCUUAAUGUGCAACUAACGGUGAGACACCUGAGCCAUCAUCACCUUAAGGGCAGAAAUCACUCUGCCAUAUUUUGUGAGCAAGUUGGUAAGCUCUCGAUGUAAGCUUCCAUCUUGAGUAAGCUUUGCAACGGUUUUCACAUCCAAUUUACCAUCUUUUUCCAGAGCAAAAACUGAUUUAGUAUUUCUACAUUCAUAGCUUUUAGUAUGUAUCUAGACAUAAUGUAUAUCUACAUAUAUAGAAAAAACAAUGAAGCUAAAAAUACCAAAACGAUCUACAAUUUAGAACGGAGGGAGUAUAUACAAACAGUUGACUACAAAAGUUAUAGAACUAAACGAAGAGAUAAUCAUAUUAAAAAAUUGGCAAACUCAUAAUAAAAAAUGGCAAUUGCACACUAGCAGGAAGCCAGAACACAGACCGGGUCAAAGCGUUUUCUUUCCUUCCCAGUCUGGACUAGAUGCUGAUUGCUGAAGACCAAGUCAGUAUCCAGUGAUGGCAAGGCGACUCCACACACUUGCAGAAACCCAGUAGCUUAGCUCAAGUUACCAUGUUGAUCACUGAUCAAUGAUAUCAAGUGGUAGGUGGCAUCUCUCUGGUUAAUACUAUAAACUCAAGUCUCCUAAAAGUCAAUUCCUUUCUGCCAGCUCGGAGAAAGCAGCUUCCCAAAAGGCAUAUCUCCUCAACUCCUCUCAUCAUUCCAAGCCAAGAAACGGAGACCGGCGCGCAGGGAGAAGGCGUCUAGCCGCCUGCCUCCGUCCGUCUCCUCGCUCUCGCCGGAGCUCCGUCAUGGCCGAAGAUGGCCCUGCCGGUAUGUUCCUCCACCUUCGCCAUCUCUGCCGUUCUGUAUCUUAGAAACAAGCAUGCCCAAAACCCAAAGGGAGGAAAGCAGCCAUUCGCUCUGUUCUCUUCUGCGAAUUCACUCUGUUCGGGGGUUUUUUUUUUGUCCUCUUCUUCCCGUGGGUGUAGGUUACUACGUUGGCCGUCCCAUGAACCACGACGACCAGAAAACCCAGCCACCGCCGCCGUCGUCCCAGUCCCAGGCUGCUGACGAGCAAGUCAACGCCCAAGUUCCUGGUGCGUGCCCUACAGAUCCGAGCGUUUCUUGCCCUGAUUCCUCGUUCUGUUUCUUUCAAUCUUUUUGAGCCUACUAUUUCUGUUUGGCAAGGGCAGGCUACUACGCCGGCCGUGUGCCGGGCAAGAAAGCCGCCGGCGGCGAGCAGAGCUCCGCUGCAGAUCAGCCGGGCAAAGAAUCAGGCUUCCUUGCCAGCUGGUAAGUACUGCUCCUAUAAACUCUACAGUGCCUCAACAAUUGAUCUCGAAAUUAGCAGUGUUCAGAGCUUGAAUCUACACGCUGCUGCUGCCUGCGUGCUGCCUGACUUGAUUCCUUUGCUGACGGUUCUCUGUGCUUCAUCUCUAGUUUCGGGUGCUUCUCCGGCGGCCAAACUGCAAAAUAGAUUCAGUGGAGGUCUGGAGGAUUCAGGAAGUCAGGAUGAUGGAUGGCACUGGUUGUUUGGGACGAUGGACAAAUGUUCAGAUUUUUUUUUUUUUUGAAGAUUUUUUGUUACGGCAGUGGUGAUGUACAAGGAUAUGCAAAUGCAGAGUCAUUGAAACUAUUCUGAUCCGUCAAUUUUACCGUGCUUAUUGAUAUAGGGGACUUUUGGUUUCCUGCCUCCAUUCGCCAUGCCUAAAUUACAGCGCCACUAAAAAAAUCUUUAGCGCUGCUUGGUUAACACUUAACUUUUAGCGCGCCACACGGAAAACAACAGCGUCCUUCGUAUUCUUUUGGCCACGGCCGUGGCGCCAAUUUUGGACGUCACAAGCUGUGGCGCCGCCUCACUUGCGGCGUGGCAGGUUGAGGCUGGCAAGCAAACACGCCUGUAAAUCAUUCUCGUAUGUUUUAGCUUAUGGGAAGAAAAAUUCAUGUCU
Molecule: long non-coding RNA, 48155 nt
Filed under: Setaria viridis
Lineage: Eukaryota; Viridiplantae; Streptophyta; Magnoliopsida; Poales; Poaceae
Description: long non-coding RNA (SVIR_LNC008983)
Source: RNAcentral